CUUCCACUUUGUAGUUCAACAAUUCGAAAUAAUGCAUUAAGGAUGCUAGACUUUCCUGCACCAGUUCUUCCAACUACACCUAUCUUCUCAGUCGAAGGUACCGUAAAAGACAAUCCAUGCAAGACUGGUGGAAGUUCAGGCCUAUAACUAAGAACAACAUUCUCAAACUCGAUUGAUCCUGACGUUGGCCAUCCGGGUGGUGGACGAUUUGUCUCAAUUAUACCAAGACCCUCAGUUUCUAAAUUUAUAUAUGUGUCAAUACGUUCGACCGAAUUCAAACUAUUUUCAGCUUUACUUGCUUGUCUUCGGACACCACUUAAAAGAUUUGUUAUGUUCAAUGUAUAACUUAGAAGUAGACCCAUUGUAGAUGCCAUCUUUGCAGGGUUUUCUGAUCUUGCAUUUUGUAAGACAGCAAAUGUUGCUAUCAACCAAAUCAGGAGACCUCCUAAGCUUUCUAAUCGUAUUGUCAACCAACGGUUCGAACUAGUAUUCACAAGAGUGAAUCUGAUAUUGUUAUCCAUGAAUUGUCCAUUGAUGUUUGUGUUGAAGAUUGACGCUAAUUAAGGAGAAUCAACAGAUUUUGUUUUGUACAGUUUGAUGACAGCUGUAUGUCCAUUAAAUAUAGAUUAGUAUUAGCUAAUUCCUAGCCUUUCCUAUCUUAUUAGAAUUAGCAAUUAUGAGGAGAAUAACUUCCCUAAUUCUUAGGCUAGAUUAGCGCCCAGCCUUAAUCUCCUAGUCUGUAUAAAUUCUGCUUUGUAUUAUUGUAAAGAUACAGAAAAUAAAAUAAGAAAGUUCCGCAUGGUAUCAGAGCUCGAUCUGAUCCAUCCCUAAGAAAACCCUAGCGCCGCCAGCAAUGGGUGAACCUUCCGACAAACAGCCAAAGAUGGAAACUGGAUCAUUUCCGACCAGUUCACAUGAUGGGCUCAGUCAUCUCAUCACUGGCCAUAAAUUAAAUGGUCAAAACUAUACCCAAUGGGUAAGAUCAGUCAAGAUCUUCCUUCAAGGAAAAGGGAGAGAAGACUACAUCACAGGAGACACAAAAUGUCCCCAAGAAGGAGAUGCCACCCUUCAAAAAUGGAAACUUGAGAAUAGCCAAGUAAUGUCAUGGCUGCUCAACACCAUGACCAACGAAAUUGGUGAAAAUUUCAUGUUCUAUGAUUCGGCAAAGGAGAUAUGGGAUGCUGUGAAGGAAACAUAUUCAAAUGUGGACAAUACCUCUGCCAUAUUUGAGAUAAGAAGCAUUCUACACAACCUUCGACAAGGAGAAUCUUCUGUUACUGAGUAUUUUAAUACACUUAGUAGACAUUGGCAACAACUAGAUGUAUAUGAAGAAGUCACAUGGGACUGUCCAGGGGAUAAGAAAAAAUUCAAAGAGCUGGUGGAGAAGGACAGAAUCUACAUGUUCCUAUUGGGACUAAACAAGGACCUUGAUGAAGUCCGUGGAAGGAUCCUUGGAACCAAACCUCUUCCCAAAAUUCGGGAAGCCUUUUCAGAAGUAAGGAGAGAAGAGAGCAGGAGGAAACUCAUGUUGGGAAAUGCCACCUCAACACCUCCCACCGAGAGCUCAGCAAUGGCUGCAAGAGGAAACCAAAUUCGGCCAUUUCAAAAGAAAAAUCGUCCCUGGUGUGAUCACUGCAAGAAACCAGGCCAUACACAAGAAAUAUGUUGGGUUAUACAUGGAAAACCCCCAGAAGCCAAGCAAUUCAAAAGCAGGGACAGCAGAGGCAACGCAAUUUUUAACUACCAAGAAGCUGAGGUAAAAUCUACUUCAUUUCCAUUUAACAAGGAACAAAUGGAGGCUUUACAAAAAAUCUUCAAACAAACCAUGCUCUCUACAGAAAAAGGUGGUACGGCUGUAGUGGCUCAGAGAGGGAAUGUCUCACAUGCUCUAAAUACUAGCAUGGGAAAAACAAAGUCAUGGAUUGUUGACUCAGGGGCUUCAGAUCACAUGACUGGAAAUUUUAAUUUGUUUACUAGUUAUUCUCCUUAUCCAUUUAACUGCACUGUCCGAAUAGCAGAUGGCACACAUUCUAAGGUCAUGGGUACAGGAUCAAUUAUUUUGUCACCUAAUAUUACACUAGAAUAUGUUCUAUAUGUGCCAAAACUUGAUUGCAACUUGCUGUCCAUUAGCAAAAUCACAAGAGAUUUGAAAUGUGUUACUAAAUUUUCUCCUAACUUGUGUGAAUUUCAGAUUUUGGAGUCGGGGAAGACGAUUGGCAGUGCUAAAGAGUGUGCUGGACUCUACCUACUUCAAGCUGAAGAAUUAGAAAGAGGACUCAAGAACCAGUCAUAUGCAGCAGCUAGUGUUCCAAGUAGUGACAAUCCUGUAAUGUUAUGGCACUAUCGAUUAGGCCACCCAAAUUUCAUGUAUCUGGAAAAAUUAUUUCCUUCUUUAUUCAAUAAAAAUCAGAAGCAUUUUCAGUGUGAAAUUUGUCAAUUGUCCAAACAUACACGUAGCCAAUACCCACCCCAACCCUAUAAGCCAUCCCAACCUUUCGCCCUAAUUCAUAGUGAUGUAUGGGGACCAUCACGCAUUAAGAAUGUUACUGGUUCUAGAUGGUUUGUCACGUUCAUUGACGAUCACACUCGUGUUACCUGGGUAUUUUUAAUGAAAGAGAAAUCAGAAGUAGGAAGGAUCUUUGAGGUUUUCCACAACAUGGUGCAAACUCAAUUUCACAACAAGAUCCAAGUGCUUAGAACUGACAAUGGUUGUGAGUACUACAAUUCGAUUCUAAGUUCUUACCUACAAAAAGUUGGCAUUGUUCACCAAAGCUCUUGUGUGGACACUCCACAACAAAACGGAGUUGCGGAAAGAAAGAAUAGACAUAUUUUGGAAGUAACUAGAUCAAUCAUGUUAGCCACAAAUGUCCCGAACCAGUUUUGGGGGGAAGCUGUCCUUUCGGCAACACACCUUAUAAAUAGAAUGCCUUCCCGGAUCCUUAACCUCAAGACCCCCCUCUCCACACUCCAAAUCUUCUUCCCAACCAGCAAAAUACUCACCUCCAUUCCCUUAAAGAUUUUUGGAUGCUCAUCCUUCGUCCACAACCACAACCCACACCGUAGUAAACUUGACCCCAAAUCUAUCAAGUGCAUUUUUCUUGGUUACUCACCUCACCAAAAAGGGUACAGAUGUUACUCACCCAUCACCAAAAAAUUCUACCACACCAUGGAUGUAACCUUCUUUGAGAACCAACCAUACUACCCCAAAGUUGGCAUUCAGGGGGAGCAAGUACACACAUAUCCAAUUGAAACUUUAGAAUACCAACCUUGGAUGUUUGAACAAACAGAAACUGCCCCUAUCCCAGCUGAAAGGACAGCAGAACCUGAACCGGUUGUUGUAACAGAAACUGAAGCAGUGGCCGAGGCAGAAAAUGGAAAAAACAAUGAAAUUGGAACAACCCAACAUAAUCAAACAGAAACUGAAGCAGUGGCCGAGGCAGAAAAUGGAAAAAACAAUGAAAUUGGAACAACCCAACAUAAUCAAGGUACACACGAAGGAAGUUGGAAAACUUAUGAAAGAAGAAGGAGGAAGGAAGUAGAGCCUAGCACAGCUCCACCGCAAAGCCAUGAGUCUCACCAGAUUCCAGAAAAUGAAAUCCCUACAGGUAACGUUGUCCCAAACUCUAAACUCCUUGUGAAUCUUGACACUGUUGAUAUUGAUAUUCCUAUUGCUGUAAGAAAAGGGGUGAGAACUUGCACUCAACACCCUAUUGAGAAUUGUGUUUCCUAUGGAAAAUUAUCACAAAACUACAGAUCAUUUGUAGCAGCCAUUGACAACAUAGAAAUUCCAAGGAAUGUUCAAGAAGCUCUACAGAAACCUGAAUGGGCAGCAGCUGUAACUGAAGAAGUCCAAGCACUGGUAAAAAAUGGCACAUGGGAAAUCACCACAAUACCUGAAGGGAAGAAACCAGUGGGAUGCAAGUGGAUCUUUUCGGUUAAACACAAUGCUGAUGGGAGUAUAAACAGGUACAAGGCCCGAUUAGUUGCAAAGGGAUUUACACAAUCAUAUGGAGUGGACUAUGAAGAGACCUUUGCACCUGUGGCAAAACUCAACUCAGUCCGGGUCCUAUUAUCAUUGGCAGCAAAUCUAGAUUGGCCCCUACACCAAUUAGAUAUAAAGAAUGCCUUCCUAAACGGUGAGCUAGAAGAGGAGGUGUAUAUGCAAAUACCUCCCGGGCUUGAAUCACAUGACACCUCAAACAUGGUAUGCAAACUCCAUAAAUCCCUCUAUGGCUUGAAAUAAUCUCCAAGAGCAUGGUUUGAUAGACUAACAAGAGUUGUCAGGGAAGAUGGCUUUGCCCAAUGCCAAACAGACCACACUAUGUUUGUUAAGCACUCUCCGGAGGGAAGAAUAGCCUUAUUUAUUGUCUAUGUUGAUGAUAUUGUUAUUACAGGAGAUGAUCAUGAUCAAAUCAGCCACCUCAAGAGUAUCUUAACCGAAGAAUUUGAAGUCAAAGAUUUGGGCCAACUCAAGUACUUUCUAGGAAUGGAAAUUGCUCGGACAAGGGAUGGUAUUUGUGUUUCUCAAAGGAAAUACACUUUGGAUUUACUCAAAGAAACAGGGAUGCUUGGAUGCAAAGUUGCCAAUACUCCGGUAGAACCCAUGAAACAAAGUGAAGAAGAAAGUGUACCUGCUGAUAAGGAUAGAUACCAAAGCUUAGUUGGAAAACUAAUCUAUCUAACUCACACUAGACCAGAUAUUGGUUUUGCUGUGAGCUUGGCUAGUCGCUACAUGUCCAACCCAACUGAGACUCACAUGAAGGCUCUAAAUAGAAUCCUUCAAUACCUAAAGGGUACACCUGGCCGCGGGCUCUAUUUCCAGAAGAGCCACAACCAGGGAAUUGAAGUUUAUACCGACUCAGAUUGGGCAGGGAGUUUAUCUGACAGGAAAUCCACCACAGGCUAUUGCACCUUUGUAUGGGGAAACUUGGUAACAUGGAGAAGUAAGAAACAAUCUGUGGUCGCUAGAAGUAGUGCAGAAGCUGAAUUCAGAGCUAUGGCACAAGGAAUUUGUGAAGGGAUUUGGCUCAAACGAAUGUUGGAUGAGAUCAAAAUUCCUACUAACUACACUAUGAGAAUACUUUGUGACAACAAGGCAGCUAUAAGUAUUGCAAAAAACCCGGUUCACCAUGAUAGAACAAAGCAUGUGGAAAUAGACAAACACUUCAUUAAGGAGAAAAUUGAUCAUGAGAUCAUAAGUGUUAACCACAUCUCAUCAAACAGACAAACAGCAGACAUUCUAACAAAGGCACUUUCAAGGCACACAUACGAAACUAUCAGGUCCAAUCUGGGUAUGAUAGAUAUCUACCACCCAGAUUGAGGGGGAGUGUUGAAGAUUGACGCUAAUUAAGGAGAAUCAACAGAUUUUGUUUUGUACAGUUUGAUGACAGCUGUAUGUCCAUUAAAUAUAGAUUAGUAUUAGCUAAUUCCUAGCCUUUCCUAUCUUAUUAGAAUUAGCAAUUAUGAGGAGAAUAACUUCCCUAAUUCUUAGGCUAGAUUAGCGCCCAGCCUUAAUCUCCUAGUCUGUAUAAAUUCUGCUUUGUAUUAUUGUAAAGAUACAGAAAAUAAAAUAAGAAAGUUCCGCAGUUUGAAAUCCUGUCGUAAGCUUUGUAAGCGCGAAUGCUUGACAAACCAUUCAAAGAUUCUCCAAAAUGUGCAUAAACAGGAGACCUUGUAAUGGAAUCCAUGCGCUUCACUUCUCGAGCUGUGCUCUAUUAGGCAUGAUAUUAAUAUGAAAGAUUAGUUAAUUCCAUCAACCAUGAUCACUAAGAGAAUGUUCGAAUCCGGAGUCUGGAGGGUUGACUAUAUUUUGGUAUAUAUUUGAGAUUUAAAAAAAUUGAAAGAAUAACAUAAUAGAUGAUCAUAAAACAUUUCAAUCCUAGAAGUUAUCUUUAAAUCAUUCAUUAUAUUGCUUCCUUAAUUUAUAAAUUAAAAAUAAACUGUCCCCUGCCCUCCUCUCCAAAAUCCUCCAUCCAAACACACCCUUAGUGUGAAUGCCUAAAAAAAUUAUCAAUUCCUAAAAUUAAAGGCAAGAUAUAGAACACACCUGGUAGAAUAUAUAAGCAACAUAGAAAAAUAUCAGAAUUGGCAUUAUAGCCCACAAGGAUAUGGUGCUGACGGUGCCUAUAAGAACAAAUGUUGAAAGUAGUUGCCAGACUUGCCCAAGAAACAUAUUCCCCAAAUUAAAAACAUUGGUAUCUAUGUCUCCUGUGUCUUUCGCAAAUCUAUUAAUUAUGCGGCCAACAGGAUUGGUCUGGAAGAACACCAUUGGAGUGCGUAGAAUUUUAUCUAGCAUCGCAUCGUGCAAUCUUUUGGCAGCACGAAGACUUGAAAUGAUCAACCAAUAAGAGUUUGCAAGUGCCACAGAUACCUGAACGCAGCAAGGGAAAAAUUCAUUUCAUUUUUCAAAAACCGAAGGAAGAGCAGAAAGGUAUUUAGUGGUAAGUUACAUAUGCUGAAAGUUGAAACCAUGCUGAAAGGUAUAUGCUGAAAGUUGAAACCAUGUGUAUCAACUAUGCAAUAGACUCUUUAUAUAGGCUCAAAAACAAUAAAUAAGAUAACUACAAAUAUUCUAUCUCUAUUUACAAGAUAUGAUAUGGUAUGAUAAGAUCGAAAGCUGAUCCAGAGAGAUAAACGAAUAUAUUAUAAUAUAAUAUCAAGAUAUUAUUUUAUAUUCUAACACAAGUAAAGCAAAGGAUACUAAAUACUAGGUAGAAAGGUGAAUAUUGGAGUUUGGAAGCAUGUGAGAAAUGAGAAGAUACAGUUGUUAAAUUAAAACUCAUAGUCAUUGAAGAAUCACCUGUCCGAAUGAAAAAAGUGCAUAAAUGAAAAUAAAAUAUCCUGCUUGAGAAGCUGCAGUGGAAUCUUGAGAUGUCCACACACUUAACCAUGUGCUACUCGAAAUUCGAAGAGCUUCUGUUAAUGUGUAGCAUGCAAAAAGUAUAGAAACUACCCAGAGCCCUCCCAAAGCAGAUGUGUAACUGUAAUUUUGGAUAUGUGAUUAUAAGUCAUAACCAAACUAGAGUAUCCAAAUUGAGUCCAAGUAGAAAAAAGUGCAAAGCAUGGCUAGUGGUCACAAAAGCAAAAGAAAUACAACACCAAAAAAGCUUCCAUAACCAAACCAAAUUAACAUUAAUCUUAUUUGAACAUCAAUUUGUGAUGACAAAAUUCGACAAUUUUUUAACGACUAAUGCAGUUUGCACACGUGGUAAAUGAAAUGUUAUAUUUGAUUAAUAGAUAUAUCACUUAACAAAUAUUCUUAGAUUUUUAAUGUUAGAAAUAAUAAAAACUAUUCUUGCGUACUCACUUAACAACUUUACGUUUUUAAGAUAGUUGGUUCAAGACAUGACAAGAUAGUUGGUCUAGAUUUUGAACCUCGCCUUUCUCAUUCUUUAAAAUAUAAAAUCAAAUUUCAUCACAAGAUAAGUUGACAUGUCUUUUGUCCAAUACUUUAGCAGCUUAACCUUAUUAGAUAGUUGGUUCAUGACAUUAUUAAUAACUUAAAGGAAAAGAUUCAUGCACUAUUCAAAUUUCAAACUUCAUGAAGAUCUUACCUCGUUAAAACUUUCCAACUAACCACGCCUGUCUCCCGCUCUUCUUUCUUAACAAGUACCGAUUUUCGCAAUUUUCCUUUCUCAUAGUUUGUAUCAUUUGGUAACUCUACCAUUGCCUCAUUAUUAAAGGGUAAAGCAUCAGUCUUGUUGUCAUGACUAUCUCUAUCUUUGUUACUAUCUACCUCUUGUUCCAUUUUCCCUGCAUUUUCCAUUAGUUUCUGAAAUAGAGGCCCACAUUUCGACAACUCCUCGAACGUUCCUUGCUCCUUAAUCAUACCUUCACUAACAAGAAUAAUUUUUUCCACCUGAGGGAGAAAAUGGAGCUGGUUGGUGACAAGAACCCUGGUUUUUCCUUGCAGCCCUUCCUUUAUACAAUUCCUGAAAACCUAAAGGACAAUGUAAAUCAGGUUAUAUGAACUAUGAAUUGUGAUCAUAGAUGAUUUCAGAAGAAUUAAAUGGUCAAAAUUAACGGUGGAAUCAGCAAUUUCAGUCUACUGUGAACCACCUGCCAAAGCAGUCUAUUAUAUAAAGGACUGUUUUACAGCUUGAUAAGAAUGAUACCUCUUGAGCAAUAUGAGCAUCAAGAGCACUUAAAGGAUCAUCAAAUAUAUAUACAUCUGAAUUUGAGUAUACAGCCCUAGCUAAGGAAACUCUUUGCUUUUGCCCACCACUAAUAUUCACUCCUCUUUCUCCAAUCUCUGUAAAGUCGCGUCCCUGAAAAUAUAUAAAUGAGAUAAAUCAAUCAUAUAAAAGUUGUGUAUUAAUUUUUUUUAAAUUAUAGAGAAGAUGAAAGUUUAUAAACAAUCUUACAGGUAAAAAGUUGAGAUCAUGCUCCAAAGAGGUGACAUCAAUGGCCUUCCAAUACCGGUUAUGAUCGAAUUUUGAUCCAAAUAAUAUAUUUUCUCGAACCUGAAAAUAAGAAAUUAUUUAGAAUGAUAAAUAGUACUUAUUGAAAGAGAGAAAAUAAUAUACAAGAGACAUCAUGCAUAAACCGUGUCUCAACUACACCAUAGAGGUCUCAUUAUAUAGGUUGAAAACCAAUCACUAUACAAAGUGCAAAUAAGAAUAUUUGUUCACUUUGCAUAUAGUAGGUCUCAAGAAUUAGGAUAAAAAUAUAUUUUAUUGAAUUAAAAAUAUGUUGGCAAUACAUCAGUUAUAUAUAUAUAUACACACACACACUAGAUUACUAUAUGUUGAAAUAUUAUCAUUAUUAAAACUAUCAUCUUCUUUCAAUUUUUAUUUUCUUUAUAUCACUCCUAAAUUUAAGGAGCUGAGUAAUUGUACUUUCUCCUAUUUAAGGAGCUGAGUAAUUGCAGGUCUAAACAAAGAACUUGAUGAAGUAAGAGGCAAAAUCCUUGGAAAAAACCCUUUACCAACUCUUCGAGAAACUUUUUCAAAAGUCAGAAGAGAAGAGGCAAGACAAGAAGGGAUGAUGGAAAAUUCAAUCACAGAUGGGUCAGCACUAAUCACCAGAAAUUUCAAUGAGGAAGGUAAGAAAGAUAGUAAGAAAUCAGAGAAGCCAUGGUGUGACCAUGCAAACGUCCGUGGCACACGCGCGAGACGUGUUGGAAGCUACAUGGAAAGCCUCCUAAUGCGAAGAAGAAAGGAAAAGGUCGUGCAUUUCAAGCUAGUUCUGAUCAAGAGUUACAGUCUUCCUCAAGUUCAUUUUCAUUCACCAAAGAGCAACUAGAUCAACUGUACAAACUUCUUGAAUCUCAAACCCCUUCUAGCUCCAUGGCUCAGAAAGGUAAUUUUUUAUAAGCCCACCUUAGUGUCAUCCCUAACCAUAGUUGGAUUUUUGAUUCUAGAGCUACUGACCAUAUGACCGGAGAACUUGGUAUAUUUUCCUCAUAUAAACCUUGUACAGGUAAUUCAAAAAUUAAGGUUGUCGAUGGCUCGCUUUCACCCGUGGCAGGAAAAGUUUCUAUUGUUUUAUCUCCCUAAUUUGGCUUGCUACCUAUUAUCCAUCAGUAAAUUAACCCAAAAUAAAAAUGUGAAGCUCAUUUUUUUGACACACAUUGUGUAUUUUAGGAUAUGAUCUCGGGAAAGAUGAUUGGCAGUGCUAAGCAAAGUGGUGGACUCUACUAUCUUGAAGAAGGACCUAAAAACAAACACCAAUUCGGACCAGUAGGUUCUUCAGUUGAAUCUUUUUUGUUUCAAAUAAUAAGGAUGAUAUUAUGUUGUGGCAUUUGAGGUUAGGCCACCCUAGUUUUAAAUAUUUAAAGUCUCUAUUUCCAAAACUUUUUGUUAAUCAAGAUAUUUCCACAUUUCAAUGUGAAAUUUGGGAGUUUGCUAAACAUCAUCGAAAUUCCUUUCCAAUACAUGAGUCUAAACCUUCAAAACCUUUUUCGGUGAUUCAUAGUGAUUUUUGGGGGCCUAAUAGGAUAAGUUUUUUAUCCAACAAAAGAUGGUUUAUCACUUUUACACUUUUACAGAUGAUCAUACCAGACUCUGUUGGGUGUACUUAUUAAAGAAAAAUCAGAGGUAGCUCAGAUAAUAAAAAAAAAUUGUAAAUUGGUGCAGACACAAUUUAACUCUCAAAUACAAGUGUUUAGAACUGACAAUGGAACUAAAUACUUUAACACAUUCGUGGGAAAUUUUUUUAUGGCAAACAUAAUUGUUCAUCAAAGCUCAUGUGUUAACUUAACUCAGCAAAAUGGAAAAUUGCAGAGAGAAAAAACUGACACCUUCUUGAGGUGGCAUGGGCGUUACUCUUCUCUACCAAUGUCCUAAAAUAUUUGUGUGGUGAGGUUGUCUUAACAGCUGCACAUUUGAUUAAUCGCAUGUCAUCACGUGUUACAAUUUCGAACACCUUCUCAAAUUUUCUUGUAACACUUUUCCAUUGCAUCAAUCUUUCUUGAUUUACCAUUGAAACUUUUUGGAUGCACGGCUUUUGUUCAUGAACAUAAACAUCUUAGAAAACUUGAACCCAUGCUAUAAUAUGUGUUCUUCUUGGAUACUCCUCCACUCAGAAAGGUUAUAAAUGUUUUAAUCCAAGUACAAAGAAAAUGUUUGUCACAAUGGAUGUUACCUUUUUUGAAAACUGUUAGAAUAUUAAAAAAUAUCUUAUAAUAUCUUUUAUAUUAUAUUAGAGUAUCUUAAAUUAUUUCUUAGGAUCAAUUUAUGAUUAUAGAGAUAUCUUAGAAUAUCUCUUAUUAUUAUUAUGAUUUAUUCCUAAUUUAGGAUUUAGUCUAUGUUUCUCUAUAAAUAGAGAUUAGUAUUGAGUCUAUUGUAAUCAAGUCAGCAUUAAGCUAUUAUCAAUGAUAUUCAAACCCUUAUUAUUUUCUCUCCUCCUUUUCUCUAAAAUCUCACACUUUCAACAUGGUAUCUAGAGCUUAUUUCGAUCCUCCUUGAACGAUUCCGCCUCUAUUCCGCUGUCGAGUUCCCAACAAUUAGGGAAUAUAAUUAUAGUUUCUCUUUUCUAACAUUCCAAUAUUCGGUGAGAUUUUUUGUAGCUUUUCGUUUAUUUUCAGCAGAUCAGUCACAACACUGUUUAUCGCGCGGUACUGUUUACUGCGCAAAUUGUCCAUAGCAUGAACCCUAACUAUGGCCAUCUUGACCCCAUUGCUGUUGGUGCCCUCAUUGCCAUCACUGCCCUUGCUGUCUACAGCACCAAAGGCUCUUCUAUUUUCAACUACAUUGCUACUAUCUUUCACAUGUUUGUCAUUGUCUUCAUUAUUAUUGCUGGUCUCAUCAAAGCCAAACCCGAAUACUACUCUCCAUUUACUCCUUUUGGUGUUCACGGUAUGAUUGAUGCUUCUGCUGUUUUUUUUCUUUGCUUAUGUUGCCUUUGAUGCUGUUUCAACUAUGGCUGAGGAAACCAAGAAUCCUGGCAGAGACAUUCCUAUUGGUCUUGUUGGAUCUAUGUUGAUUACCACCAUAUUAUAUUGCUUACUAGCUACAACACUUUGUCUCAUGCAGAAUUAUAAAGAUAUAGAUGUUAAUGCACCUUUUUCUGUUGCAUUUAGUGUUGUUGGAAUGGAUUGGGCUAAGUACAUUGUUUCAUUAGGUGCCUUGAAAGGAAUGACAACUGUAUUGUUGGUUGGUGCUGUUGGUCAAGCUCGUUAUUUAACUCACAUUGCACGUACUCACAUGAUGCCACCUUGGUUUGCUCUUGUUGAUCAUAGAACUGGGACACCUAUGAAUGAUACUAUCUCAAUGCUUGCAGCUUCUGGUGUUGUUGCUUUUUUCACUGAUCUUGCUAUUCUCUCUAACCUUUUGUCAAUUUCCACCUUAUUUAUAUUUUCCCUUGUGGCCUUAGCACUUUUAGUAAGGCGUUAUUAUUCAAGUGGAGUAACUACAAAAGGAGAUCAACGCAAUUUCAUUGUGGGUCUUGUGUUGAUUAUUGGCUCUUCAAUUGGAAUUUCAGCUUAUUGGAAUAAUAGUACUGAUGGCUGGAUUGGUUAUUUAGUUUUUGUUCCACUGUGGAUUUUAGGGACGGGUGGUAUUUGGCUUUUUGUACCAAUGGCAAAGAAGCCUACACUAUCUGGCUAGGCUAUAUUUAUAGCUAUUCUUUCCGACUUCACAUGCAUCCCUGAGUUGCCUCUCCAUUAUUAUUGGUUUGAAGCUUCCAAAUGCAGUUUUUUAGAAGAACGGAGCUUGCUUUUUUCAAUUGCCUUCCAUGAAUUUCUCUCAGGCUGAUGAUUAAUCAGACUAUCUGGCUAGGCUAUAUUUAUAGCUAUUCUUUCCGACUUCACAUGCAUCCCUGAGUUGCCUCUCCAUUAUUAUUGGUUUGAAGCUUCCAAAUGCAGUUUUUUAGAAGAACGGAGCUUGCUUUUUUCAAUUGCCUUCCAUGAAUUUCUCUCAGGCUGAUGAUUAAUCAGACUAUCUGGCUAGGCUAUAUUUAUAGCUAUUCUUUCCGACUUCACAUGCAUCCCUGAGUUGCCUCUCCAUUAUUAUUGGUUUGAAGCUUCCAAAUGCAGUUUUUUAGAAGAACGGAGCUUGCUUUUUUCAAUUGCCUUCCAUGAAUUUCUCUCAGGCUGAUGAUUAAUCAGACUAUCUGGCUAGGCUAUAUUUAUAGCUAUUCUUUCCGACUUCACAUGCAUCCCUGAGUUGCCUCUCCAUUAUUAUUGGUUUGAAGCUUCCAAAUGCAGUUUUUUAGAAGAACGGAGCUUGCUUUUUUCAAUUGCCUUCCAUGAAUUUCUCUCAGGCUGAUGAUUAAUCAGACUAUCUGGCUAGGCUAUAUUUAUAGCUAUUCUUUCCGACUUCACAUGCAUCCCUGAGUUGCCUCUCCAUUAUUAUUGGUUUGAAGCUUCCAAAUGCAGUUUUUUAGAAGAACGGAGCUUGCUUUUUUCAAUUGCCUUCCAUGAAUUUCUCUCAGGCUGAUGAUUAAUCAGACUAUCUGGCUAGGCUAUAUUUAUAGCAAUUCUCUCCGACUUCGCAUGCAUCCCUGAGUUGCCUCUCCAUUAUUAUUGGUUUGAAGCUUCCAAAUGCAGUUUUUUAGAAGAACGGAGCUUGCUUUUUUCAAUUGCCUUCCAUGAAUUUCUCUCAGGCUGAUGAUUAAUCAGACUAUCUGGCUAGGCUAUAUUUAUAGCAAUUCUCUCCGACUUCGCAUGCAUCCCUGAGUUGCCUCUCCAUAUUUUUUAUUAUUUUGUGGAGCAAAAUAUUUUCUUGUAGCAAGCUAAAGCUUAGUAAGCUUUAGCUUGAGGGGGAGUGUUAGAAUAUUAAAAAAUAUCUUAUAAUAUCUUUUAUAUUAUAUUAGAGUAUCUUAAAUUAUUUCUUAGGAUCAAUUUAUGAUUAUAGAGAUAUCUUAGAAUAUCUCUUAUUAUUAUUAUGAUUUAUUCCUAAUUUAGGAUUUAGUCUAUGUUUCUCUAUAAAUAGAGAUUAGUAUUGAGUCUAUUGUAAUCAAGUCAGCAUUAAGCUAUUAUCAAUGAUAUUCAAACCCUUAUUAUUUUCUCUCCUCCUUUUCUCUAAAAUCUCACACUUUCAACAAAAACAAACAUAUUUUUUAGAAGAAUCAUUUUCAGGUGGGAAGUCAAGUGAAAAUGAUUCCCUUCAAUUAUAUGAAAAUCUGAUUUUUUUCAGAAAAUGUGUAUACAUCACAUAAUUCUGUUACUACUGCACUUAAAGAAAUUGACUCAUAAACAAUAAGUGGUUCUACUUCUACCAUGAGUAAGGGUCUUACCAAAUUGAGGCUAACAAAUAAAGAAAAUGCUUUUUUGGAACUUAAUUUGAAAAAAAAAAAACCAAAUAUCCCCACAUAAGAAUCCUUGUGAUGAAACAUAAAAAAGAUUUGAAGAGGAUGAUCCAAUUUGGAAAGGUGUAUGUAAGAAGGAACCAAGAUCAAUUAGUGGAAGACCCCAUUCCUCAGCUCAACCAAGAAUCUGAACCGAGUGAAAGCCAACCAACCGAAACAAGUAAAAUUCUUACUAAACCUACUCCUAUAUACAUUGAUCUACAUGUUCCCAUGGCCUUUAGGAAACCUAUUACAUCAUGUACUAGACACUCUAUGUCUAAUUUCAUAUCUUAUUCAAACUUGUCCUCCUUUUUUGCUACUUUUACCUCUCACUUGUCUUGCAUAGAGAUUCCAAAGAAUGUACAGGAAGUUCUAGAGGCUCCAAAGUGGAAGGAAGCUGUUCUUUAGGAGAUGAAAGCUCUUGAAAAAAAUAAAACUUGGAGUGUCAUGACUCUACCAGCUGGUAAAAGAAUUGUGGGUUGCAAGUGGGUGUUUACAGUGAAGUACAACUUAGAUGGAUCAAUUGAAAAGUACAAAGCUAGGUUGGUUGCUAAAGGAUUUACUCAAACCUACGACAUAGACUACUCAGAGACCUUUUCCCUUGUUGCUAAGCUUAACACAGUCAGAGUUCUCUUAUCUCUUGCUGCUAAUUUGGAUUGGGUGCUCCACCAAUUAGAUGUUAAAAAUGCAUUUCUCAAUGGUGAUUUAGAAGAAGUGUAUAUGGACUUCCCUCCAGGUUUUGAAGACAAAUUUGUAUCACAAGUAUGCAAACUGAGGAAGUCUUUGUAUGGAUUAAAACAUUCUCCGAGAGCGUGGUUUAAAAAUUUACUCAGUCAAUAAAGAAACAGGGAUAUACUCAAGGGCAAGUUGAUCAUACCUUGUACACAAAGUCUAGCUCAAAUGGAAUGACAACUGUUUUAAUAGUGUAUGUUGAUGACAUUGUUCAGAUGAUGAUGUGGCAGAAAUAGAGAAACUAAAGAAAAGUUUAGCUGCAGAAUUUGAAAUCAAAGACUUGGGUCCCCUAAAAUACUUUCUUGGUAUGGAAGUGGCGAGAUCAAAAAGGGGGAUAAUAGUCUAUCAAAGAAAGUAUGUUCUAGAGCUCUUACAAGAAACAGGUAUGAGUGGUUGUAGGCCAACUGACACUCCUAUGGACCCAAAUGCCAAACUUUGGGAGAAAGGAGACACCCCGGUUGAUACUGGAAGAUAUUAGAGGUUAGUUGGAAAACUGAUAUAUUUGACUCAUACUCGUCCUGACAUUUCCUUCUCUAUUAGCGUUGUCAGCCAAUUCAUGCAUAACCCAUAUGAAGAACAUCUCGAAGUAGUUUACAGAAUCUUGAGAUACUUGAAGGCAACUCCUGGAAAAGGGUUUUUCUUCAAAAAGACCAAUGAUAAAAAUGUGGCAAUAUUUACCGAUGCAGAUUGGGCAGGAUCUGUUAUAGAUAGGAAGUCAACUUCAGGGUAUCGCACAUAUGUGUGGGGAAACUUGGUAACUUGGAGAAGUAAGAAACAAGGAGUGGUUGCAAGAAGUAGUGUCGAAGCUGAGUUUAGGGCAAUGGCACAAGGAAUUUGUGAAGGUAUGUGGAUUCUUAGAGUUUUGAAAGAACUUGAGAUAGUGGUGGAACUUCCACUGAAGUUAUAUUAUGACAACAAGGCCGCUAUAAGCAUAGCCCACAACCCGGUUCAACAUGAUCGAACAACGCACAUUGAAAUUGAUCGCCACUUCAUAAAAGAGAAAAUUGAUUUUGGUAUUCUUUGCUUGCCAUUCGUUCCUUCUAAUCAACAGACAGUUGACAUAUUGACCAAGAGCUUGACCAGGACAAGUUUGGAACAUUUGAUAAGCAAAUUGGACAUGAUUGAUAUCUAUGCACCAACUUGAGCGGGGGUGUUGAAAUAUUGUCAUUAUUAAAAUUAUUCAUCUUCUUUCAGUUUUUUUUUUUAUUUUCUUUAUAUCACUCCUAAAUUUAAGGAGCUAAGUAAUUGUACUUUCUCCUAUAAAAGGAGCCCCUAUUUGUCAGAAUAAUACACAACAACUAUCAAUAAAAUUUCACUAUACUAUACUACCAAAUCCCUAUUAGUACUCAUAUAUAACUAUAUCCCUACUAGUACUCCUAUACAACCGAAUCCCUAUACUUGAGGGAUAUCUUUAAUAAUAAAACAGAAACAUAUUUUGACACUCCCCCUCAAGCUAGUGAAUAGGUGUUCUUUGUUGAAGUUGUGGGAUUUUAGAUAAAAUAAUAAGAGUUUGAAUAUUAUUGAUAAUAGUUGUAUGUUGACUUGAUUACAAAAGACUCAAUAUUAAAUCUAUUUAUAGAGAUACAUAGAUUUAAUCCUAAAUAAGUAGCAAAUCAUAAUAAUAAUGAUUAUAAAUUGAUCUUAGAAAAUAACUCAAGAUACUCUAAUAUAAUAUAAAAGAUAUUAUAAAUAUUUUAUUAUAUUCUAACACUCUACCUCAAGCUAAAGCAUAGCUUAUUACAAGAAAACAAUGUAUUUAUUAAAUGUAAAUGUUGUUACUAUUAUUUAUACUGAGAAAUGUCAAAGCAAAAGGCAUCAAGCCAAGUUUACUGAGAUGGUAUUAGUAGGUUUACGAUCAAACUUGUGAUUUCAUGGUUUUGGGAAUUUCAGUUCAAAAUGUAUGUCAAAGGAAAAGGAUUAUGGAGUCACCUUGAUGGGGUUUCUCAAGCACCAAUAGAGAAAGCCGUCUUAGAUGCGUGGGAAAUCAAAUAUGCUCAAAUUAUUUCUUGGAUUCACAAUACUAUUAAUCCUCAUAUAAUAAUUUCCGCUUUUUUUCAACUGCUCAAAAAAUGUGGAACUACUUGAAGCGUAUCUACAACCAAGACAAUACGGCCAAAUGUUUUCAAUUGGAGCUAGAGAUAGCCAACUACAAACAAAGUGAUUUGUCUGUUCAAGAAUACUAUUCUGGAUUUUUGAAUUUGUGAACAGAACACUCUACGAUUAUAUUUGUUGCGGUUCCCAAGACUUCUCUUGCGGAUGCCCAAGCUGUCUACAACACUAGUAAGCGUGAUCAAUUUUUCAUGAAACUUCGUCCCGAAUUUGAGGCUGUUAGAGGUGCUUUGCUGAAUAGAACUCCUGUUCUUUGGAUACAUGUGUUGGUGAACUUCUCAUAGAGGAACAACGCCUCUUUACUCAAGAAACCAUGUCUCAUGAUGCUGUCACUUACGAACCUGUUGCAUAUGCUGCUCAAACCCAAAGUAAAGGCCGUGAUAUGCGACAACUCCAAUGUUUUUCGUGCAAACAGUUUGGACAUGUUGCUCGUAGUUGCAAUAAGUUUUGUAAUUAUUGCAAGCAGCAAGGUCAUAUUAUCUCUGGUUGUCCCACACGCCUUCCAUGACCAGCACAACAUCCAGUGCAGGCAUUCCAUGUCACUACGAGCUCCGCAUGGUGCCUAUAAUGGUGGUGCUCUAUAGCCUGAAAUGAUUCAACAAAUGGUACUUUCUACUCUUUCAGCCUUGGGAAUUCAGGGUAAGUUUUCUAAUGUUUCCAAUCCAUGCUUUCUUGAUUUUGGUGCAUUCAAUCAUAUGAUGGGUUCGUCUAAAUGCUUGCACAAUUUACGUUCUUAUCAUGGUAAUCAGAAAUGCUUGCACAAUUUAUGAUGGGUUCGUCUAAAUGCUUGCAUUCCAAUUUAUUGUCUGUUAGACAAUUGGUGGACAACAAUUCUAAUAUUAAUUUUCCCGUGAUGGUUGUCUUGUGCAGGAGCAGGUGUCGGGGAAGGUGAUCACGAAGAGACCUAAAAUGGGAAGAUUGUUUCCACUCCAAUUUAUUUCCAAUCAUUUAUCUCUUACUUAUAAUAAUGUUUUGAAUUCUUAUGAGGAUUAAAAUAGAAAAUUGGGUCAUCCAAACUUUGUUAUUUUGUUUCAUUUAUUUAAAACUGGUUUGUUGGGAAAUAAAAAUGUUUCUAAUGCCUCUGUGCCAUGUUCUGUUUGCAAAUUGGCUAAAAGUAAAACACUUCCUUUUCUGUCUGGUGCUCAUCAUGCUUCCACUUAUUUUGAGAUGAUUCAUAGUGAUGUAUGGGGAAUGUCUCUUGUAACUUCUCAUGCUCACUAUAAAUAUUUUGUCACAUUUAUUGAUGAUUAUAGUCGUUUUACUUGGAUAUAUUUUCUUCGGUCUAAAUCUAAAUUGUUUUCUAUGUUUAAGAAAUUUCUAACAUAUGUUGAAACUCAAUUUCAAACAAGUGUUAAAAAAUUUCGCUCUGACUCUAGUUGUGAGUAUAUGUCUCAUGAGUUUCAAGAGUAUCUUCAACAAAAAGGUAUUUUGUCUCAACGCUCUUGUCCAAAUACCUCCAACAAAAUGGAAUGGCAGAACGUAAGAACCGUCAUUUGCUUGAUGUAACCUCUUACUUGUUCAAGCUUCUGUACCAUUCCGAUAUUGGAUGGAGGCUCUUUCCACAGCUAUCUUCCUGAACAAUCGUCUUCCUUCUACGAUUAUUGAUCUUGACUCUCCUUUUUUUGUCUUUUUUAAAUCCAUCCUGAUUAUAGUGAUUUACAUACUUUUGGAUGCGUGUGUUUUGUUCAUCUACCUCCAUUUGAAAGACAUAAGCUUAGAGCUCAAUCUGCUCAAAGCACAUUUUUGGGAUAUAAUCAUUCUCAUAAGGGCUUUGUGUGUUAUGAUAUUUUUAGGAAUGUGACAAUUUUUUAUAAUCAAUUUAUGCUUCACUGUUUUUCUCUUGCCAUGAAUGAUAUUGAUAUUCUUCCCAACUUUUCCACUAUGCCUCAAUAUAUAGAACGUUUUAAACCAGGAAAUGUAUAUGUUAGAAAACACACAGCAGGUUAUAAGCCCCUUUCUCGACAUUGAUCCGCCACCUGAUCCUGUGGUGGUUGCACCACGACGUUUUGAUAGAGCGUCUCAAGCACCAGAUAGAUAUUCACCAAACAGGUAUAAUUCCUCACAUACUUCUUUGUCUGUAUCUCUCUCUAGCAUAUUUAUUCCUACUUGUUACUCACAGGCUGUUAAAGAUGUGCGCUGGAUAAAAGCAAUGAAUGAGGAACUUCAGGCUCUUCAAGAGAAUUUCACAUCGGACGUGAACAGUAACAACGUGAAUAUUGAACACCCUAUGGCAGAGAACAGGCCAAAAAGAAAUCUCAAGUUGCUACAAUGAAGGCAGCAAAAAUGGUCACAAUGAAGGUGACUAAGGUUUCAAGAAAAAAGAAACCGCAAUGAAGGCGGCAGGUUGAUGCAGAAGCGAGACUCUCAAAGACCGAGAGCUCUGAUACCAUCUAAAAAAUUAGAGUAAAAAUAUAUUUUAUUGAAUUGAAAAUAUGUUGACAAUACAUCAGAUAUAUGUAUACACACACUAGAUUACUAUACAGCCAAAUCCCUAUUAGUACUCAUAUAAAUAAAUCCCUACUAGUACUCCUAUACAACUGAAUCCCUAUACUUAGGGAUAUUAAACAGAAACAGAUUUUGACAGUAUGAAUAAAAUGAUAAAUCUUAGAAGCAUGAACCAAGGUGAAACUCACUGUAGCGUUGAAAAUCCAUGAAAUCUGAGGAACAUAAGCAACAGUGCCUCUGAUUGUAGCAUUUCCAUCAGAUAUAAGAGGUAACUCUUCAAGCAUUGCUGAAAUAAGUGAUGUUUUCCCUUCUCCAGUACCUCCAAUGAUUGCAACUAAGCUUCCAACUGGUAUUUCAACAUUGAUAUUUGAUAAUGUGGCCUUCUCUGCCUGUGAGUUGAAUAGGUUUUUCAUACAAGUGAGUUUUGCACACAACUAAUAUCAAGAUUAUAAAUAGAAUGGAUCAAAACAAAUGAUAAAUGAAUUUUUUGCCUCAAUUUAAGAAUAUUUAAGAAUAUUACUCAAAAGUAAUAGUUUGGUCUGCUAAGAUCUAUAUGGACUUUAAAUAUCAAAAUUCCAGUUGUCCUUGGUGUUUUCAAUAGCAGACUGAAGAAAACUACGGUUUGUUCAAAUUCCUCUAUGCCACAGUGCCACUAUAGCAGCAUUUCUAUAGCGUCUAUAUGACAAUACUGGUAGUCCUUGAUAUGGCCUAUGUUGUACUUUUAGGAUAUGGCCUAUGGCUAUGACAUGGUUUUAUGUUGCAUUUUUUAAAAGUAAGUUUGUUUUAACUUUGAAAAUGAUUAUUGAUCAUUAUUUUGGAACCGUUUGUUAAUUAUUAUUCUUCAUAACAUGGUAAAAUUCUACUCUUCAUACAAACUGCUUUAAAUAAAAAUGUUACUAUAAAUAAUUUGUUCUCUAUAAUGUUGCUAUUAGUUUAAUAACAAUUGAGACAAGUUAACCAAAAUAAUGGCAAUGCUCACAAGAAUGAAUAAAAAUUUAACCUUAGGAUCCCAUGAAAAAUAUCCAUUCUUUAUUGAGAUGGCUGGAAGUCCUGGAACAAUAGGUGGAUUUUGUUUUAAAUUCCGUUCCUCGGCCAAAAACAGUUCCUCCAAACGUUGCAAUGAGACAUUUGCAUUUGCUACCUGUUAGAAAAUACAAUCAGUACACAGUAAGGAAUACCUACUUAUCAUAAGCAAAAUGCUUGAAAUGGAGAAAAAUAAAUAUUAGAGUGAAAUAAGUUACUAAUCCUUAUAAAUAUGAGACCUUCCAAGUUUAGCCCCUGUUAAAGUUUUUUGUGAAGUUAGUCUUCCAUAUACAUUAGUCUCUACAGUUAAAUUUCUGCCAAUGGACUAACAUAAGUCCUAGGCCAGAACAGUCACAUGGACAUUUAAAUUUACAUGGCGUCCACGUGACAAGUGAGUCAUAUUUUAUUAUAUCAAUUUUAUGUGAAAGAAAAAGAGCACAUUAACUAAAUGAGAUGAGGGUAAACAACAACCUUACUUAGUACACUUGGAAGCGUACUUAAAGGAAAGCGCAAAACUGAAAACAGUGAUAGUGAGGUGAAUGCCCUUGCAGGUGUCAAUUCUCUACCAAGUAAGGCAAACAUUCCAAAGGAAGUUACUGUCACAAGAACUGGGAUGCUGUUCAGUAUAAAAUUGUUUAACUGCAAUAAAGGAACUAAUAGUUAGGAAAAAGUUUACAAAUUUUCAUAGUCUAGGAGAAUUACAUUUGUCAUUGAAAUUGUUGACCAGCAUUCCAUUAAAACUGUUGUGUAGCACAUAAAUAUAGAAAAAGUAAUUUUAUGAUGGAACUUGAUGCUUAGAGUUGUGCCUAUGUCUAUGACAACCGUAUAGUUGUUGUAGUUCUUCUAUUCUGCAAUGCUUAGUGUUACAAAGUCCAAAAAUGUGAAUAAAUACUAAGGUCCAUAUUAUAGUAUUACCUCUGGCCCUACCGUAGGAGCAUUCGCCCCCGCACUCCUCAACCCUCAUAAUCGUUACCUAACUAGUGAAUGGGUCAAACCCAAGUGAAUACGUUCUUGCUCCGAUAUGCUCAACCAACUAUCUACUUAUCAGCGAAUAUGAUUCAUACUCAAAAUAGUACAAUGCUUGUUAUGCUACUUUUUAGAAAUGAAAAUCCCAAUUAUCUUAAUACGGAACACAUGAAAGAUUAUUAGAAUGAUAAAUUUCACUAGAUAAUAGAAAUAAUAUGGAAACAAUCUGAAUUAUAAAUUCGUGUCAAGGUUCAUAUUUAUACAGCAUAUAGAAGCUGUGCUUUGCGGAGCCAUGAUAGUUCUUCAUGUCGAAUGCUUUGAAUUCUAGACUGAAAGCUUGUUUCCCAUGCAUAACAUCUGAAUCACAUUCAGCAUAUCACAAACAAUGUUAAGAGAUCAUCUAUACUUGAAUAUUGAAAGUAGUGGACAUAUUUUAAUGUGCUCAUACUUUACUGUAUCCAUGGCCGAUAGAAUUUCAAUCAUGAGACCAACCCUUUUGUCUGUUUGUUGCAGUGCUUCUUUUGCCAGUUUUCUCACUUUGCUAAUAACAAAUGUCUGUUCCCAACAAAAAAAAAAAAUCUAUUUAUUAAUCAAAUAAAAAUACAUACAAUUAAAGAAAACAAUAGUUUUUAUUUAGAAAAUGAACUAGUGUCCUGUUUGGAUAGUGGCUUAAUUAAGAACUUAUCAUAUAAGUUCUUAUGUAGUAGCUAUUUCUGUAAAAAAAAAAAAAAAAGAUAACAUAAACUAAAACUAUUUUUGUAUUAGUUCUAAGCUAUCUUCGAGAGCUUAUGAAAAUAAGUUCAAAACAACUUACGGACAUGUCAUAAACUGUUUUCAUAAUCUCUCUCAAACAGUCUCGUAAAUGUUUAUGUCAGUAGAUAAACUUAAAUAAGACAAUCCAAAAAGACUAGAUACCAAAUAUAUCAAUUUCAUCUUAUACUAAGUUUAGGGUUUAGUACUCACUCUUCAUUAUAAUAGAUAGAAUUUCCAAAGUGAAAAAAAAGAUGAACAAGUGCAUGUGAGAUAUAAAAACUUGCCUGUAGUGGAAUGAUGAGAACUAGCAUUAGUGAUCCAAUAAAUGAAGCAACACCUAGUUCCUGGUAUAGAAGAACCAUAGCUAUAAUAAUGCGGAACGGCGCUGACCAUAAUCCAUGAAGUUGUUGACAUACUUCCUAAAUAUUGUAAAGGAAUAUUAUUAGCAAAUGAAAUGACAUUUGUACAUUAUCUACAUUCCAUAGUUAUUAAACAUAAAUUUAAUGCUUUAGCGGCUGCUAUUGCCCUUAUAGAAGAAGGAUAUGGAUUCACUCCAAUAUAAAAAAACAUGCAGUUGUACACAUUAAUUGAUCUCAUAUGUCGGUUUGAGAUAAGUAGGCUCACAAUACACAUUAACCAAAUCAUCUUUAAAUAAUUUUUAAUAUUGAUUUAAGAUCAGACAGUCAAGAUCAAUUACUGCCUUGCGCAGUUAUGUUGUGAAAUGCAAAUUGUUGAAAAUAUAUUUAUAUUUAUUACAUAUCAUGUAAAUAGGGAUAAUAUCUCUCAUAUUUAUUUUUGUAUUUAUUGCCUUGAGCCUAUAUAAAAUAGACUCCGUUGUGUAGUUCAGACACACGGUUUCACCAUAUGUCUCUCUCAUUUUCUCUUAUUCAACAUGGUAUUUAGAGCCUAUUAAGAGAGACAACCCUAUACCGUGAUUACCCCGGGACCCACUGUCUUUCGGUGAGAUUUUUUUUUUUCGGUAAACCGUGUCUCAAUUCCGGUUUACCCUUUCUUUGUCGCUUUUGGUUCAUUUUUUUUUCCAGUAAAUCAGUCCACUGUUCAUCGCGCGACACUGUUCAUCGCACGCACUAUUCAUGUACUGUUCAUCGAAAAAAAAAAAAAAACCCUUCUUCUGCCAUUGUUUUGCUGCUUGUUUUAGGUAACUACUUAUUGAUUAUAGCUACUUAUGAAGAUUUUCUUCGGUGGAGAGAGUAUUGUCAGAACUCGAGUUCCACUGUUUCCGCCGCACAAAGUGGUAAUUCACCUGUUUGCAUCUCACCUUCUCAUAACCCAUGGAUUCUCGAUUCUGGUGCAUCUGAUCACAUUACUGGUAAUAAGACUNNNNNNNNNNNNNNNNNNNNNNNNNNNNNNNNNNNNNNNNNNNNNNNNNNNNNNNNNNNNNNNNNNNNNNNNNNNNNNNNNNNNNNNNNNNNNNNNNNNNNNNNNNNNNNNNNNNNNNNNNNNNNNNNNNNNNNNNNNNNNNNNNNNNNNNNNNNNNNNNNNNNNNNNNNNNNNNNNNNNNNNNNNNNNNNNNNNNNNNNNNNNNNNNNNNNNNNNNNNNNNNNNNNNNNNNNNNNNNNNNNNNNNNNNUUUUUUUCGGUAAACCGUGUCUCAAUUCCGGUUUACCCUUUCUUUGUCGCUUUUGGUUCAUUUUUUUUUCCAGUAAAUCAGUCCACUGUUCAUCGCGCGACACUGUUCAUCGCACGCACUAUUCAUCGCACGGUACUGUUCAUCGAAAAAAAAAAAAAAUAUUCCGCCACUGUUUCGCUGCUGGUUUUUAGGUAACUACUUAUUGAUUAUGGCUACUUAUGAAGAUUUUCUUCGGUGGAGAGAGUAUUGUCAGAACUCGAGUUCCACUGUUUCCGCCGCACAAAGUGGUAAUUCACCUGUUUGCAUCUCACCUUCUCAUAACCCAUGGAUUCUCGAUUCUGGUGCAUCUGAUCACAUUACUGGUAAUAAGACUCUUUUCUCCUCUCUCACAACAUCUGGUUAUUUACCUAGGAUAGUCUCAGCCAAUGGUUCCCAAACACAGUCUCAAGGGAUUGGCACUGUCCAAAUCCUCCCUACUCUGUUAGUUAAAUCUGUCCUUUAUGUGCCUGGAUGCCCAUUUAAUUUAUGUCCUUUAUGUGCCUGGAUGUCCAUUUAAUUUAAUUUCUAUCAGUCGAUUGACUCGUUCUCAUGACUGUGUUGUCACAUUUACUAAUUGCAAUGUUACUUUGCAAGACCGAAUAUCAGGACGACAAAUUGGUGUCGGAUGUGAGUCUAAUGGUCUUUAUUAUCUCUAAAACCCAUCAACAGCGUGCCCUACCACAUAUUCUCCUCUUACUAUACAUGCUCAGUUAGGUCAUCCGAGUCUCCCUAAACUUCAACAAUUAGUACCUAAUCUAACCAAAUUAUCUAGCUUAAAUUGUGAAUCGUGUCAAUUAGGGAAACACACUCGUAGUCAUUUCACUAAUCGAGCUAAUAAACGAGCUUCCUCCCCAUUUGCUUUAGUUCACUCAGAUGUUUGGGGUCCCUCUCGUACUAUUUCCACACUUGAGUCUAGAUAUUUUGUUACCUUUAUCGAUGAUUUUUCCCGUUGUACGUGGUUAUUUUUAAUGAAAAAUAGGUCUGAAUUAUUUUCUAUUUUUGAACAAUUUUAUAAGGAAAUUAAAACUCAAUUUGGUGUAUCCAUUCGCACUUUGCGCAGUGAUAAUGCCCGUGAAUAUUUGUCCUAUCAAUUUCAAAAUUUUAUGACCUCUAACGGCAUUCUUCAUCAAACAUCUUGUGCUCAUACACCUCAACAAAAUGGGGUAGCCGAACGCAAAAAUCGGCACCUUAUUGAAACCACUCGUACUCUCCUUCUUCAUGGUAAUGUACCAUCUCGCUUUUGGGGCGAUGCUGUUUUAACGGCGUGCUAUCUUAUAAAUCGCAUGCCUUCGUCUGCUCUUGAUAACAAAGUCCCUCACUCGAUCCUCUUUCCUGGUACCCCUCUUCACUCACUUCCUCCUCGGGUCUUCGGAUCUACAUGUUUUGUCCACAAUCUCACUCCUGGUCUUGACAAACUUUCACCUCGAUCAUUAAAAUGUGUCUUUCUUGGUUAUCAUCGGUCCCAAAAAGGUUAUCGUUGUUAUUCUCCUACUCUUCGACGAUAUCUCAUAUCGGCUGAUGUCACAUUUUUUGAGUCUGUUACAUACUAUGAGUUGCUUCCUGAUCCUUUGUCUGCAACUAUUCCUCUGGACCUACCAAAGUCUAUUUCACCUUCUCUUUUACCAUUAGAGCCUAUUACGUAUGCCCCACCUGAGACACCUCCUGUGGCCCCUCCCACUGUCCCACUUGAGACUCCUCUUGUUGAUCCUCCAACUGUACAACCUCUUCAGACAUAUCGUCGUCGUCAACCACCAUCGGUUGUACAUGUCCCUACACCUGUUCUUGAUACCGAGGUCACUCCAGACGCUCCUUCACCGCCACCUCCUUCUUUAUCGGAUCCGACCCUUGAUAUUCCUAUUGCUAUUCGUAAAGGUAUACGUCCUACUCGUAACCCAUCCCCUCAUUACAUUGGCUUGAGUUACCAUCGUCUUUCUCCUUUGCAUUAUACUUGUUUGUCUUCCCUGUCUUCUGUUUCUAUUCCUAAAUCUCCAGGUGAAGCUUUAUCUCACCCAGAGUGGAGACAAGCAAUGAUUGACGAGAUGUGUGCACUUCAGAGUAGUGGUACAUGGGAAUUGGUUCCUUUACCGUCGGGAAAGUCUUUAGUAGGAUGUCGUUGGCUUUAUACGGUGAAAGUUGGUCCUGAUGGUAAGAUUGAUCGUUUUAAAGCUCGUUUGGUAGCAAAAGGGUACACUCAAGUUUUUGGCCUCGAUUACAGUGAUACUUUCUCCCCUGUGGCUAAGAUGGCCUCUGUUAGACUACUCCUCUCUAUUGCAGCCAUCAGACAUUGGUCUCUACAUCAACUUGACAUUAAAAAUGCUUUUUUGCAUGGUGACCUUGAAGAAGAAGUGUAUAUGGAGCAACCACCUGGGUUUGUUGCUCAGGGGGAGUCCUCUACCAUGGUUUGUCGACUUCAGAGGUCUCUCUAUGGUCUUAAACAGUCUCCUCGAGCUUGGUUUGGUAGAUUUAGCACAGUAGUGCAACAAUUUGGCAUGAUUCGAAGUGAAGCUGAUCAUUCUCUUUUUUAUCGUCACUCAACCCAAGGGUGCAUUUACUUGAUUGUCUAUGUAGAUGAUAUUGUCAUAACUGGUAGUGAUCAACAGGGCAUACUCCAAUUGAAACAACAUUUAUCUCAUCAGUUUCAAACUAAAGAUCUUGGCAAGCUCCGCUACUUCUUGGGUAUUGAGGUAGCCCAAUCUAAGGACGGCUUAGUAAUUUCACAAAGAAAAUAUGCUAUGGAUAUUCUUGAAGAGACAGGUUUGUUGAAUGCCAAACCGGUUGACACUCCUAUGGAUCCAAACGUCAAACUUCUACCUAAUCAUGGGGAGCCAUUUUUAGAUUCAGGGAGAUACAGAAGAUUGGUUGGUAAAUUAAACUACCUCACAGUCACCCGUCCAGACAUUUCUUUUGCAGUCAGUGUGGUAAGUCAAUUCUUAAAUUCUCCUUGUCAAGAACACUGGGAUGCUGUGAUACGAAUCUUGAAAUACAUUAAAGGUGCUCCAGGAAAAGGUCUAAUUUAUGAAAACAGAGGACAUACUCAGAUAGUUGGUUAUUCAGAUGCCGAUUGGGCAGGCUCACCCAUUGAUAGGCGAUCCACUUCUGGGUAUUGUGUACUUGUUGGAGGAAACUUAAUAUCUUGGAAGAGUAAGAAACAAAGUGUAGUUGCAAGAUCUAGCGCUGAAGCUGAAUACAGGGCUAUGGCAUUAGUGACUUGUGAGCUCAUUUGGUUGAAACAGUUACUCAAAGAGCUUCAAUUUGAAGAGGCAACACAAAUGACAUUAAUAUGUGAUAAUCAAGCAGCAUUGCACAUUGCCUCUAAUCCAGUUUUUCAUGAGAGGACCAAGCAUAUUGAGAUAGAUUGUCACUUUGUAAGGGAGAAGAUCGAAUCAGGCGACAUCACCACUAGUUUUGUUAAUUCCAAUGAUCAAUUGGCAGAUGUAUUCACUAAGUCUCUGAGAGGUCCUCGAAUCAGUUAUAUAUGUAACAAGCUUGGUGCAUAUGAUUUAUAUGCUCCAGCUUGAGGGGGAGUGUUGAAAAUAUAUUUAUAUUUAUUACAUAUCAUGUAAAUAGGGAUAAUAUCUCCCAUAUUUAUUUUUGUAUUUAUUGCCUUGAGCCUAUAUAAAACAGACUCCGUUGUGUAGUUCAGACACACGGUUUCACCAUAUGUCUCUCUCAUUUUCUCUUAUUCAACAUAUAUUAAACAUUUCGGUUAUUGAUUUGAGAUCAAAUAAUUCACAUUACACUUUCACCAAACUAGCUUUACAUAACAUCUUUCAUUGAUAUGAGAUUCGACAAUUGAAAUCAGUAAGCGCAUGACACAAUUAUUGUCAGGAAUGCGUUUCUGUGGGUGGUCAUGCAAUUCCACAAUCCAAUUCUUUCUCCACUUUAGCCUGUAUAUUGGUAUUAAGAAAUUUAAUUAUUAAUCCCUACUGAGUGUAAUGAUAGGACUGAUACAUAAAUCAUUUGAUCAUUUUAUCAAAUGAUAUCCAAACAUUAUUGAUUGUGAUUCUGGCUAAAUGGUUUUCCUUUAAUAUUUGAAAUUCAUAUAAUUAAGAAAUUGAACUACUUUCUUUUAUAAAAUUUCUGCUUGGACGCUUUCAUUAUAAGUGGACAAAGUGGUGGCAGCAAUACUUGGGAGGACUUGGCCUUCUUAACCUCUCUGUCGGUUCCUAAAGAGAGACUAUGCAUUUCAGUAUCCCACCAUGGCUGCAGAGGAGCUCAAAAGCAUAAGAUUGAACUUCAGCAACAAAUUCACCAAAAUUUGCAAUAGGUUCUUGUUUAUCAGAGGAAACAUGCCAGCAUUUCACGUCAUUCCCAUCAGUCGGCGUGCCAAAUCUACAUGCAAUGCAUGGCCACCCUGCAUCAAGCAAUAGCAUAAGAAUCAUUUGCAUUAAAAAUCAUGUUGUCUCAGGUUGCACAAGAUACAAAAUCAGCAUUUGUGACACAUUAAAAAUCGAGUAUAAGGAGGGAGGAGAACGAAAGACACAAACCUUGUAAGCUACGAUGUGUGCCAUUGGGAGUCGUUGAUUGCCAAACUGAGAAAACAGCGAGAUAUCACCGAUAAGAUCAAAAAUCUUGUGAUGACAUGGUUCAUCACUUAAACGAAGAGGUUGAUUCAACCAACCUUUGCUUGUACUGCAAAAGAAAACAGUAAAAAUUAUACAAUGAUAUGUACCAACAAUAGAACAUAAUUCAGUGUACUAAUGGAAAUGAAUUUAUCUGAUCUCAACUGAUUACUGAUCUUAUUAUUUGAGAUUAAGGUAUAAAUUUCUAAUAUUGGGUCUUGCAAAGGAAUCGUGAAAACUGCGUCUUAUGAUUGUAACUAAGUUAUAAAUACCAUAAAUAAUGCCAUACUUUGACGAAAUAGUGACUUACUUUAAAAAUCUAGUGCCAAGAUUUAUGAUCCUAAUUACAUGGAUCUAUGCUUUUCGAGCAUGAAAUUUUGGGUAAAUUCUAACGAAUCAAUGUGUCUGCAUAAACUGUGCUUUAGUAUCAUAAGCAAUCAAAACUGAUCUCUAGCUAUCACAUAGCUGAGCAUUAAGAACGGUUUUAAUACAAAUUUAUAGGAAAGUAAAUACCUGCACACAAUGGCAUUUUCCAGAGAGCCCCCUUUGAUAAGUCCAGCAUUGCGCAUUUGCUCAACCUGCAAAAGCUUAUUGAUUAUGGCUACUUAUGAAGAUUUUCUUUGGUGGUUAGAGUAUUGUCAAAACUCGAGUUCCGUUGUUUCAACUGCACAAAGUGGUAAGUCACUUGUUUGCAUCUCACUUUCUCAUAGCCCAUGGAUUCUCGAUUCUGGUGCAUCUGAUCACAUUACUGGUAAUAAGACUCUUUUCUCCCCUCUCAACAUCUGGUUAUUUACCUAGGAUAGUCUCAGCCAAUGGUUCCCAAACACAGUCUCAAGGGAUUGGCACUGUCCAAAUCCUCCCUACUCUGUUAGUUAAAUCUGUCCUUUAUGUGCCUGGAUGCCCAUUUAAUUUAAUUUCUAUCAGUCGAUUGACUCGUUCUCAUGACUGUGUUGUCACAUUUACUAAUUGCAAUGUUACUUUGCAAGACCGAAUAUCAGGACGACAAAUUGGUGUCGGAUGUGAGUCUAAUGGUCUUUAUUAUCUCUCAAACCCAUCAACAGCGUGCCCUACCACAUAUUCUCCUCUUACUAUACAUGCUCAGUUAGGUCAUCCGAGUCUUCCCAAACUUCAACAAUUAGUACCUAAUCUAACCAAAAUAUCUAGCUUAAAUUGUGAGUCGUGUCAAUUAGGGAAACACACUCGUAGUCAUUUCACUGAUCGAGCUAAUAAACGAGCUUCCUCCCCAUUUGCUUUAGUUCACUCAGAUGUUUGGGGUCCCUCUCGUACUAUUUCCACACUUGAGUCUAGAUAUUUUGUUACCUUUAUCGAUGAUUUUUCCCGUUGUACGUGGUUAUUUUUAAUGAAAAAUAGGUCUGAAUUAUUUUCUAUUUUUGAACAAUUUUAUAAGGAAAUUAAAACUCAAUUUGGUGUAUCCAUUCGCACUUUGCGCAGUGAUAAUGCCCGUGAAUAUUUGUCCCAUCAAUUUCAAAAUUUUAUGACCUCUAACGGCAUUCUUCAUCAAACAUCUUGUGCUCAUACACCUCAACAAAAUGGGGUAGCCGAACGCAAAAAUCGGCACCUUAUUGAAACCACUCGUACUCUCCUUCUUCAUGGUAAUGUACCAUCUCGCUUUUGGGGCGAUGCUGUUCUAACGGCGUGCUAUCUUAUAAAUCGCAUGCCUUCGUCUGCUCUUGAUAACAAAGUCCCUCACUCGAUCCUCUUUCCUGGUACCCCUCUUCACUCACUUCCUCCUCGGGUCUUCGGAUCUACAUGUUUUGUCCACAAUCUCACUCCUGGUCUUGACAAACUUUCAGCUCGAUCAUUAAAAUGUGUCUUUCUGGGUUAUCAUCGGUCCCAAAAAGGUUAUCGUUGUUAUUCUCCUACUCUUCGACGAUAUCUCAUAUCGGUUGAUGUCACAUUUUUUGAGUCUGUUACAUACUAUGAGUCGCUUCCUGAUCCUUUGUCUGCAACUAUUCCUCUGGACCUACCAAAGUCUAUUUCACCUUCUCUUUUACCAUUAGAGCCUAUUACGUAUGCCCCACCUGAGACACCUCCUGUGGCCCCUCCCACUGUCCCACUUGAGACUCCUCUUGUUGAUCCUCCAACUGUACAACCUCUUCAGACAUAUCGUCGUCGUCAACCACCAUCGGUUGUACAUGUCCCUACACCUGUUCUUGAUACCGAGGUCACUCCAGACGCUCCUUCACCGCCACCUCCUUCUUUAUCGGAUCCGACCCUUGAUAUUCCUAUUGCUAUUCGUAAAGGUAUACGUCCUACUCGUAACCCAUCCCCUCAUUACAUUGGCUUGAGUUACCAUCGUCUUUCUCCUUUGCAUUAUACUUGUUUGUCUUCCCUGUCUUCUGUUUCUAUUCCUAAAUCUCCAGGUGAAGCUUUAUCUCACCCAGAGUGGAGACAAGCAAUGAUUGACGAGAUGUGUGCACUUCAGAGUAGUGGUACAUGGGAAUUGGUUCCUUUACCGUCGGGAAAGUCUUUAGUAGGAUGUCGUUGGCUUUAUACGGUGAAAGUUGGUCCUGAUGGUAAGAUUGAUCGUUUUAAAGCUCGUUUGGUAGCAAAAGGGUACACUCAAGUUUUUGGCCUCGAUUACAGUGAUACUUUCUCCCCUGUGGCUAAGAUGGCCUCUGUUAGACUACUCCUCUCUAUUGCAGCCAUCAGACAUUGGUCUCUACAUCAACUUGACAUUAAAAAUGCUUUUUUGCAUGGUGACCUUGAAGAAGAAGUGUAUAUGGAGCAACCACCUGGGUUUGUUGCUCAGGGGGAGUCCUCUACCAUGGUUUGUCGACUUCAGAGGUCUCUCUAUGGUCUUAAACAGUCUCCUCGAGCUUGGUUUGGUAGAUUUAGCACAGUAGUGCAACAAUUUGGCAUGAUUCGAAGUGAAGCUGAUCAUUCUCUUUUUUAUCGUCACUCAACCCAAGGGUGCAUUUACUUGAUUGUCUAUGUAGAUGAUAUUGUCAUAACUGGUAGUGAUCAACAGGGCAUACUCCAAUUGAAACAACAUUUAUCUCAUCAGUUUCAAACUAAAGAUCUUGGCAAGCUCCGCUACUUCUUGGGUAUUGAGGUAGCCCAAUCUAAGGACGGCUUAGUAAUUUCACAAAGAAAAUAUGCUAUGGAUAUUCUUGAAGAGACAGGUUUGUUGAAUGCCAAACCGGUUGACACUCCUAUGGAUCCAAACGUCAAACUUCUACCUAAUCAUGGGGAGCCAUUUUUAGAUUCAGGGAGAUACAGAAGAUUGGUUGGUAAAUUAAACUACCUCACAGUCACCCGUCCAGACAUUUCUUUUGCAGUCAGUGUGGUAAGUCAAUUCUUAAAUUCUCCUUGUCAAGAACACUGGGAUGCUGUGAUACGAAUCUUGAAAUACAUUAAAGGUGCUCCAGGAAAAGGUCUAAUUUAUGAAAACAGAGGACAUACUCAGAUAGUUGGUUAUUCAGAUGCCGAUUGGGCAGGCUCACCCAUUGAUUGGCGAUCUACUUCUGGGUAUUGUGUACUUGUUGGAGGAAACUUAAUAUCUUGGAAGAGUAAGAAACAAAGUGUAGUUGCAAGAUCUAGCACUGAAGCUGAAUACAGGGCUAUGGCAUUAGUGACCUGUGAGCUCAUUUGGUUGAAACAGUUACUCAAAGAGCUUCAAUUUGAAGAGGCAACACAAAUGACAUUAAUAUGUGAUAAUCAAGCAGCAUUGCACAUUGCCUCUAAUCCAGUUUUUCAUGAGAGGACCAAACAUAUUGAGAUAGAUUGUCACUUUGUAAGGGAGAAGAUCGAAUCAGGCGACAUCACCACUAGUUUUGUUAAUUCCAAUGAUCAAUUGGCAGAUGUAUUCACUAAGUCUCUAAGAGGUCCUCGAAUCAGUUAUAUAUGUAACAAGCUUGGUGCAUAUGAUUUAUAUGCUCCAGCUUGAGGGAGAGUGUUGAAAAUAUAUUUAUAUUUAUUACAUAUCAUGUAAAUAGGGAUAAUAUCUCCCAUAUUUAUUUUUGUAUUUAUUGCCUUGAGCCUAUAUAAAACAGACUCCGUUGUGUAGUUCAGACACACGGUUUCACCAUAUGUCUCUCUCAUUUUCUCUUAUUCAACACAAAUCAUAGUACAUUUAGGAUAGCGUAGUGGUUUACAUAGCGCUAUUUGACAAAAAAAAACUGCAAUGCAACAGCGCUAUUAGCACCGCUAUUUGACAACACUCUCUAUGUCAUAAUGGAAAGACUUGCACAUUCAGUUUAAACAGAAAAUGAACCUGUAAUGCAUUGGCAUCAGUUGUUAUCAUAUUCAUAAGCUUCCCAGAUGAAAACUUCUUUCUACUUUCAUGAGUUAGCCUCAAAGAUUUUCUGAAUACAGCAGCCACCUAUAACAAUUACACAAAGUCACAUAUAAUCUAUGUAGAUAAAUAAAAUAAUAAAAUACAUUAGGAAAAAGAGUUGACAUACCAAUGUUGAUCUAAGUUGAAAACCAACACGCAUAACAUUCUGGACAUACUGUGCAUCGCAUAGAACACAAACUAACUGAAAACAGUAUAGAAACAUCUAUUAAUUGUUCUUUUCCUAUUUUUAUUGAAUGAUAUGAAAAAGUAUAAAAUAGUUAUGAUAUCAAAGACAAACUCUAUCCAUUGUGAAAAGUAUAAAAUGCAUACUCCUCUAUCAUUCUUCAUGUGUUAAGAAUACAUACAAGUAAAGCUAUUUGGGAAUGGUGAUAAUCCUAGACAUGGCAAAAGUUGCUCAAGUAGCCCGUACUGUGCUAGAACAACAAACCCGACUCUAAAGAAAACAGAUCAGUAAUCGCACACAAGAACACAAUUAAUAUAUAUUUUCAUAUAUUAGUGAUGUUCUAUCUAUAUAGCUAGAAAACAUGGAAAAAAGGCACAAGAAAAACCUCAUCCACCUUUUUUUUUAUAAGCACCUCAUCUACACUUAAACGUACAUGGUUCACCCGAACCUGAAUUUACUGAACCAACACUCUUCAAAUUAUAAGAGAAAGUAGCCAUACCACUCCGACAAAUAUGGAGAAGGCGUAGAUGUAAUCGAUCCACGACGGAUCUCCGUUUUGCAUUGACUGCAAUUAUAAAUAACAGUCACAAACUAUAAUAUAUCUAGUUCAAGCCAUAAACAUUAUAUUGCAUGUGUUGUUGGAUUUAUCUGAGUAUCAUUGUUCUUCUUUGCACUCUUUAUUUUCUAUCUUCAUAUCAAUCCAAUUUGGUUUUUUGGGGAGAAAUAAACUUACAUCUAAGAGACGGCUCAGAAAAAUAGGCCCCACAAAUAGAAAAAGUUCAUUACCAAUCUGCAAAGAUCAUUAAAAAUCCCAAGUUCCACAAAAGUCAGCACAGACGUGGUUCAACAAUGUUAUCACAUGCCUUUUAAUGUACAAUUUUUUCCUACUCCAAUGAGAUUAAUAGUUACUAUAAAAUGUAAAUCUUGUACAUUAUAGUGACAGUAAUCCUCUUAACCUGAAAUUAGAAAUAACUUCCAAUAUGAAAAUGUUUACUUAUUCAUUUAAGACACUUUAAGUUAAAGAUAAAAAAAGAUUUGUGGUCUCACCUUAUAGAUCCCUCCAUACCAAAACCUAACAAAAUUUAAACCAAAUCAAAUAAUAAUUGAGAAAACAACAUAACUAAGGUCAUCUUGAAAAGUCUAAAUAAAGAUCUAACAAUUAGGCACUAUUUGGUAAAAAGUAGCAGAUGACAGAUAAGUUAGCUGAUAGCGGGUGAGCUUAUAGCAGAUAGCGAAUAAGCUAGUUGAUAGCUGUUACCGGAUAAGCUAGCAGAUAAAAUUUGAAGUGUUUGGUAAAAUUAGCGGCAGAACUAACUGAUAAAUACAAAUUGACUUAUAAAAUAUAUUUUUAUUUAAAAUUUAAAUAUAUUUGUUAGAAUUCAAAGUAUGAUUUAUUAUUUUUUGACUGUACAAUUUCCUAGGUUCAAUGGUAGAACUUCUAGUCAAAUACAAGUCCCUAGUAUUUGAAUGUAAUUAUUGUAACCUCAUUAUAAAUAGAAUGUGUGUGAUCUUGUUUGAGACACACAAGAAACACAACAAAUCACAUAUUUUACAUGGUAUUAGAGCAGAUUCAUCCUAGUGCUGCUCUGCCUUUUCCAACUAUGCCAUAACCCUUUUAUUUUUAUUUCUUUUAUCCUUCAAAAUUCUGUGUUCCAGCUGUGCUUUUCCAUUCCAGCUGUGCGUAUACUAUUCUAGUGCAACCCACCACCACAGACCGCCGCGCAACCCUCAGGUGAACACGGUGACAUUUUUUUUUUUUGCGCUGCCAAACUCCAGCGAACUCGGUAACAUAUCUGGCCACCAAUUUUUCAAAGUCAGUCGUCGCUCAAGGCCUUACGGCACAUUCCAAGGUCAUUUUUCAACUUUUGGUGAUUUUUUAACAUCUUUUCUUCUCUUUCACCUAACGUUGAUCGUCAUGUCCAACACCGGAUCUGCUACUGCCUCCUCUUCCGUGUUCAGUUUCACUAUGCUUCCUUUGAUUUCGUGCGAAAAAUUGGUAGGUGCAGCCAAUUACGCAGGAUGGGCAGCAGCCUUUGAACUUUGGUUCCAAGGACAAGGUCGUAAAGACCAUUUGCUUAAACAGUCCAAGGAAGUCGCUGCCAAAGAUCAAGACAAUUGGAAACAGAUAGAUGUCUCUCUAUGCAGCGUUCUUUGGUUUUCAAUCGAUGUCAAACUUCAAUCUCAGUUUCGCUCGUUUAAAACAUGUUAUGAUGUUUGGGCAAAAGCGAAGAAGACAUACUCCAAUGACGUUAAUUGUUUAUAUACUGUAGUCUCUAAUCUUAUUUCCAUGAAGAAACAAGAAAUGGAUAUGCAAAGCUACAUAGGUAAGCUUAAUAGUUUGAUUGCUGAUUUUGAUGCACUUAUGUCCUAUACUGACGGUGCCGAAACACAUGCUGAACAACGUGGAAAAUUCUUUAUGGUUCUGGCCCUUGCGGGUCUUACACCAGAUCUUGAUUUAGUUCGCAACCAAAUUCAAUCUGGUGCUACUGUUCCCUCAUAUGAAACUGUUUGUGAACAAUUACUGCGUCUUUCGGCCCCUUCAGCUCCUGCUCCAGUCGUUGCUUCUCUCAAUGUGCCAGUUGAAUCUACUACACUCGUCUCUAAUUCUUAUCAACGAGGUGGUAGAGGAGGAGGACGUGGACAUAAUCGUGGUCGAACUCGAUGCAACUAUUGCAACCGUUUUGGCCACGUUGAAGCACAAUGUCGCACCAAAGCUAAUCAACUGCAGCCUAAAGUCGCCAAUGUUGCUCAAAUUGAGGCCCUUGACACAAGUGAUCAAGUCACGCUUUCUACCACAUAAUAUAAUGAGUACAUCAAGCUAAAGGCUCAAAUGCAAACUACCACACAAGUUGCCUCUGUUGCUAAGAUCGGUAAUCCUAUUGCCUUUGUUACACAAUCUUCUUCACUUGGACCUUGGAUACCUGACUCAGACGCCUCUGAUCAUAUGUCUGGUAAUAAAUUGUUUUUCUCAUGUUUGACUUAUAUGGACACACUACCUAGUAUUACUUUGGCUAAUGGGUCACAAACCAAAUGUCAUGGUAUUGGCCAAGCAAAUCCCCUACCCAAACUCUCUUUGGACUCUGUGCUUUAUGUCACUAGUUGUCCAUUUAACUUAAUAUCCAUCAGUAAACUCACUCGUACCCUACCUUACUCUGUUACAUUUGCUAAUGGUUAUGUUCUUGUGCAGGAUCGGAGUACUGGGACGACGAUUAGAGUAGGGCAUGAGUCUCAAGGCCUAUAUUACCUUUCGGCACCUACAACGCCUAUUGCAUGUUCCGCCGUCGAGUCUCCACAUAUUAUCCAUCAAUGUUUGGGUCAUCCUAGCCUUCAAAAGUUGCAUCUUAUAGUUCCGAGUCUGUCAAAAGUGUUUACCUUAGAGUGUGAGCCAUGUCAGUUCGGGAAACAUACUAGGAGUUUAUUUCCUCACAGAGUCAAUAAAAGAGUUGCAUCUCCUUUUGCUUUAGUUCAUGCUGAUAUUUGGGGUCGGAGUCGUGUUGUUUCAUGUUUGGGUUUUCAAUAUUUUGUUACUUUUAUUGAUGAUUUUUCCCGAUGCACUUGGAUAUUUUUAAUGAAAAACCGCUCAGAUGUUUUCUCAAUUUUUCAAACCUUUUACUCAAAAAUAAACACACAAUUUGGUACUCAGAUAAAAAUAUUGCAAAGUGAUAACGCUCGCGAAUAUUUGUCUACGUCUUUUCAAUCUUUUUUGACUUCACAGGGCAUCCUCCAACAAACUUCGUGUGCUCAUACCCCUCAACAAAACGGUGUCGCUGAGAGAAAGAACCGACACUUGGUGGAAACGGCUCGUACCAUGCUCCUUCACAAUAAUGUACCUCCUCGUUUUUGGGGAGAUGCAAUUCUCACAGCUUGCUACUUAAUCAACCGCAUGUCUUCCUCUGUACUUGAAAACAAGGUACCACAUUCUAUUUUGUUUCCUCAACAACAUCUUUAUACCCUACCACUCUGCAUCUUCGGGUGCACGUGUUUUGUUCAUGACCUUACUCCAGGGAAAGAUAAGUUGGCUGUAAAAUCCCUUAAGUGUCUUUUUCUCGGCUACUCUCAUCUGCAGAAAGGUUAUCGGUGCUAUUCCCCAGAUCUUCGACGAUACUUUGUCUCUUGCGAUGUCAGUUUCUUUGAGACUCGCCCCUUCUUUCUCCCUACUGCAAAAGAGUUCAAUGAUUCUGAUCAGUCACAAUCUCUCUCUCCAGAGGUCCUUAAUCUCCCCAUUGCACCCACCCCUGUCUCCAUUCCCACCCCUGUCUCUAGCACCACCCUACGCACCUACCAACGGAGGCCCCGUCCACCACCCGCUCCUCAAGACUCAUCCGCUACUCUACCUGACUCUCACUCUCCGCAUCCUACACCAGAGCUACCCAUUGCUCUGCGUAAAGAUAACAGGUCAUCUCGAAAUCCUAAUCCUAUAUAUGCUUGUCAUUUGAAUUAUAAUCAAUUAUCUACAUCCUAUUAUGCUUUUGUGGCUUCCUUGGAUUCUGUGUCUAUUCCGAAAACUACAGGUGAAGCUAUGUCUGAUCCUGGCUGGCGACAAGCAAUGAUAGAUGAAAUGACUGCUUUGCACUCCAACAGGACAUGGGAUUUAGUACCUUUACCUGAUGACAAAACCACAGUGGGUGUCGCUAGGUCUAUAUAGUCAAAGUUGGGCCUUAUGGAAAGAUUGAUCGCUUAAAAGCUCGUCUUGUGGCAAAAGGAUACACACAGAUCUUUGGUCUUGACUAUGGGGAUACCUUUUCUCCGGUUGCCAAAAUCGCAUCCGUCCGACUUUUUCUUGCCAUAGCUGCUAUUCACCACUGGCCACUCCAUCAAUUAGACAUAAAAAACGCCUUCCUGCAUGGAGAGUUACAAGAGGAGGUGUAUAUGGCACAACCACAAGGCUUCACUGUUAGCGGUUCCUCUCACUUGGUAUGUCGAUUACGUCGAUCUCUAUAUGGCCUGAAACAAUCUCCCCGUGCUUGGUUUGGGAGGUUUAGUACCGUGCUCCAAGAGUAUGGUAUGACUAGAUGUGAAGCUGAUUACUCGGUUUUUCUUCUUGCACUCUUCACCAACCACUUGCAUCUACCUGCUUGUCUAUGUUGACGACAUCAUCAUCAUAGGUAAUGACCAGGUUGGCAUUCAUCAGCUCAAACAACAUUUGUCUCAAAACUUUCAGACUAAAGAUUUGGGGCCGCUAAAAUAUUUUUUGGGGAUUGAGGUUGCUCAGUCUAAGACAAGUAUAGCAAUUACUCAGCGAAAAUAUGCCCUUGAUAUACUUGAAGAAACAGGCAUGCUUGAUUGUCGCCCGCGUGAUACUCCCAUGGAUCCUAAUGUCAAGCUCCUACCAGGUCAGGGGGAGCCAAUGCAAGACCCUGAUAGAUAUCGACGACUUGUUGGCAAACUUAAUUAUCUUACAGUAACUAGACCUGAUAUUACAUUUGCUGUAAGUGUAGUAAGUCAAUUUCUAAAUGCUCCAUGUGAUAGUCAUUGGAAUGCUGUGAUUCAUAUUCUUAGGUAUAUCAAGAAUGCACCAGGAAAAGGAUUGCUUUAAGAAGACAAGGGUAAUACCAAUGUUGUUGGCUACUCUGAUGCUGAUUGAGCAGGGUCACCAUCAGAUAGAAGAUCCACUUCUGGGUAUUGUGUCCUUGUUGGAGGCAAUUUGAUAUCAUGGCGGAGCAAGAAGCAAAACAUAGUCGCAAGAUCAAGUGCAGAAGCGGAAUAUCGUGCUAUGGCUGCAUCGGCUUGUGAACUUACAUGACUAAAACAGUUACUCAAACAACUCAAGUUAGGAGAUGUCAACGUAAUGAAACUAAUUUGUGAUAACCAAGCUCAACUUCAUAUUGCUUCCAAUCCGGUCUUCCAUGAAAGAACAAAGCACAUAGAAAUUGAUUGUCAUUUUGUAAGAGACAAAGUUCUUUCCGGAGAAAUCACAACUAAUUUUGUUGGAUCAAAUGAUCAAUUGGCUGACAUAUUCACUAAGUCACUUAGGGGUUCUCAAAUUGAAUUUAUAUGUAACAAGCUUGGUGCAUAUGAUAUAUAUGCUCCAGCUUGAGGAGGAGUGUUAGAAUUCAAAGUAUGGUUUAUUAUUCUUUGACUGUACAAUUUCCUAAGUUCAAUGGUAGAACUUCUAGUCAAAUACAAGUCCCUAGUAUUUGAAUGUAAUUAUUGUAACCUCGUUAUAAAUAGAAUGUGUGUAAUCUUGUUUGAGACACAUGAAACACAACAAAUCACAUAUUUUACAAUAUUGAAUCAAGAUAAAGAGGGUAAAAACUAAGAGAAAAUAUGAUACGCUAUAAACUCAAACGCUACUUGUCAUAGCAUCUCAAAAAAUACUAUAAGCUCGUGAGAGAAAACCUUAACCAAACAACUCUAUUUUGAUGAUACGAGUUUAUAUGCUAUAAGCUAACUGUUUGACCUUGCCAAAUAAGCCUUAAAGGGUUAUCAUGAAAAAGUUCUCAAUAUGCACCUUUUCCCUAGGCUAUUGUUAAAUGCUCUUAAAAGCCAAGGGUUAGAGCUUUGAAAUUCUGACAUCCAGCACUUUUGGAACCUGCAGAAAUAAAAUAAAAUAAAAAGUACUUAAAAAUAUAUAUAUGAGUUUCAUGCAAAACCAUACAAUAAGAAAAGAGAAUGUAUACUUUUCAUUUAAUGUCUCUGUUUGAUCCCACUUGUCUAGCUUCCAAACAUCCUUUUCUGUAAUGGGUUUUCUGUAACCUUGUUUCAUGAGUGGAGUUAUCCAUCCAAAACUUAAUCCUUCAUAUAAUACAUAAAUAAAACAUUAAUACUCCCUCUACUCGGAAAUAUAAGCAAAGAAAUACAUAUAUUUGAUGGUCUUAAACAUUUUUUGGAUUACUCACUAGAUAAUAAAUUGGCACACAUCUCUGGGCAAACUUGAUCAUCUCCACAAAGUGGUUCAUAUUCACCAUUUUCAGGUAUUUCAGCUUGGAUUGUUGUAUGAUGAGAAUAUGGAACCAAAUUAGGAACGUAAACUAGAAGUAAGGUACCAAACAACACCUACAUGAUCAGAUAAAGUAGCCAUAAUAAGUUCAUUAUGAUGUAUCUGAGUGACUCAGUGACAACAUCAUUUAAAUACCAUAUCUACAAAGAUUUUGAACCAUAAAUUGUGUAUAUAAUACAUUACAACAUUCAUCCAAAUCACGGAUGAAUUGAGUCAAGUUUUUUAAAGUGCUCUAAGGCCAACACAGGUGUCGGACACAGAUGAAUUAAGAGAUUCAUGCCGGUGUCUGACAUGACAUAGGUGUUCAAUCUGAAAUGUUGAUACUACAUAGGAUACUGGUAGCCAACUUUAAUAUAAUAUGAAUGUACUAAGCACUGCAUUCCUAUAAAUGAAAACAAAAUACAAUUAUAAUGAAGAUUAUACUAAACUUCGCUAAAAGAGGUGAAAAUCAGAAAUGUACCUGGAAGAUAACAGUGCUAAUAUACAGAAAUAGAGCAGAUCUGCAAAGUGCAAAAUUGAAAACAAAGCAUGAGUGUGGUGCUACCCAAACCAUAAAAAAUGAAGCAUAAUUUUCCUAGUCUUCUUUUCCAUUUUAUAGAAGAUUUCAAAAUUCACUUCCACUUAACUGUAUUUUUUAGCCAUAACAGGCUAAAUGUUGUAAGAACUUAUACAAACAACUGAUAUGUUUUCUCAUAUUUUGAAGAAAAUUAAAUAAUUUGAAUUUAUUUCACUUUUCAUUCACAUAUGUGAAAUUUGAAAAUGUAAUGUGUUGAAAAGUUACAAGCUAACCUGUUAGAGUAAUCUUUGACUGACAGAAGAAGGUCAAGCAUUACAAUAUCUCCCACCAAAACAUAAAUAACUCCAAACCUUACCAACCACCUAAAUUGCCUAAUAUAAACCUUGGUUUCCAAGAGGAUGAGAAUUAUCAUUGAGAACCAAGCAAGUGAUUCAAUGACCAGAGCUGUUAUCUUGAAGAACACAAAAACAGAAAGGGGUUUAAAUUUCUCAUUCCACCAAAAUUUAACAUAUUUCUCUAUUACAAGUUACACAACAUUUAACUUUUCGAAAAUGAUAACAAGUGCUCUAAGGGCACAUGUUAAGGAAUCAAAUGUAGAAAUAAUGUUUUAGAAUUUGUGUAUUCAACUUCUCAAAAGUUUAAAAAAAUUACUCUUUUCAACACAAAGUUUCGACUUUCUUUCUCCUGUUGAAAAUAAAAUAACAUUAUGUAAGUAAAUAGAAUAUCUUGUAACUAUUCCUAUCAUUCUAUGUAUUUAUUACUCAUAGUCUACAUACAAAACUUCCCUUUUGUAGUUGAAACACAUGGGUUAUUCAACCUACCUCUCAAUAUUCUCUUCUCAUUCAAUAUGCUAUCCAGAGCCUAUUGAGAGGCAAACCUAAUCUUCAACUACUCGGUGGACCCACUAUCUCUGGUGAGAAUUUUUUUUGGAAAACCGUGUUCUCAACUCUGGUUGCCUCCCUCCCUAUGUUGCUACGAUACUGUUUUCCCAUUUUUCCCAGCCAACCACGCUCUCCGCUGCCGCUCCCUCUGACGACCUUUCCGGCGAACGACCACUCCAACAGCGUCGUCCACCCCAGAUCAACCCACCCCUCAACGCGUGUCGUCAACAACCCUCUCACGUGCCCAAACGUUCCAGGCGCGUCAGAUCCACGCGUCACCUAUUGCCACUGUGCGUGACGGUGCGUCCGGCAGUCGUUUACGACGCGGCCUCUCUCUUUGCACUCGCUUCAACCUUCUGAUCCCAUAUCUGCCUUGAGUUUUUAAUUUCGAGUCACGGAUAUACGCGUUCCAAUUCAAACAGCCCCUAUUGUCACUGUUUGCUGAAUAUCAUUACUCUAAAGACGAUAGAUGGUUCUAUUUUUACAUAUCUUGGCAACUUUCAUAGUGCACUUCAUGAUUUUAAUGAACUUCUCCAUCCUGCUGCAAGUAAUCCAGUUGGACAAAAGGAGCUGGAUCAACACAAUACCUUCAUGUUUCUUGCACUUUAUGGCUUGCCCCAGGAGUACUCUGCAACUCGUGAUAAAAUUUUGGGGUUUGUUACUGUUCUGGAUAUGUCUACCACCUCAGCGAUCCCUCUUCAAGUACCAGCAAAACAUUCAGCUGAACCUUCUAUUACUUCAGCACCGGGUGACACUGGUGCCCUUGCAUCUCUGGGACAUAAUCAGAGUCGCUCUCGUGGAGGACCAUCCUUCUCUAAGCCUUGUCCCAAAUGUGAGCAUUGUAAUCGACUUGAACACACUAAUGAUCGCUAUUGGAAGUUGCAUGGUAAGCUUUCGCCUUCGAUAAAUGCAACUCAGCUUGAUCCUUCUGCCAUUAUUUAGACUACACCUUCUCCACAGGGUUCCCCAGCAAGUUAUGAAGAUUUCCUCCAGUGGGUUCAGAGUCAUCCGAACUCUGGUUUUACUACUUCGGUUGCACACACUGGUAAUUCAUCUAUUUACCUCUCUCACUCAUCUGCUCUUGGUCCUUGGGUUCUUGAUUCUGAUGAGUCAGAUCAUCACUGGUAAUAAAGGUCUCUUCUCUCUCUACAUCUGGUUUUUUACCUACUAUAACUUCUACCAAUUGCUCUUAAACCCGGUCCCAAGGGGUUGACAUUGUCCAAAUUAUCCCUUCCAUUUCAGUUGCAUUUGUUCUCAAUGUACCUAGAUGUCCUUUUAAUUUACUUUCAGUUAGUCGAUUAACUUAGUCCCAUGACUAUAUUAUUACUUUUACUAAUGGUAAUUUACCCUGUAGGACCGGAGUUCAGGACGGACGGUUGGAAUUGGAUGUGAGUCUCAAGGCCUCUAUUACCUUUCUCUAUCAUCCAAGACAUGAUCUGCCACAGUUCCCCUCAUAUUAUCCAUGCUCAGCUAGGACGCCUAAGUCUUACCAAACUUCAAAAGUUAGUGUCAAGUUUGUCUAAGUUGUCUACUUUACAUUGUGAGUCGUGUCAGUUAGGGAAACACACUCGUCGUCAUUUUCUUGAUCGAGUCAAUAAAAGGGUUACGUCCCACUUUGCUUUAGUUCACUCUGACGUUUGGGGUCCUUCUCGUAAUGUGUCUACUAUAGAGUCUAAGUAUUUUUUUACUUUUAUUGAUGAUUACCCUCGUUGUACGUGGUUAUUUUUAAUGAAAAAUAGAUCUGAACUGUUUUCUAUUUUUGAGCAAUUUUAUCAAGAAAUUAAAACUCAAUUUGGUGUUUCUAUUUGUACUUUACGAAGUGAUAAUGCUCGGGAAUAUUUGUCUCAUCAAUUUCAAAAUUUUAUGGCUUCCAAUGGUAUUCUUCACCAAACGUCAUGUCCUCAUACACCCCAACAAAAUGGAGUAGCCGAACGCAAAAACCGGCAUCUCAUUGAAACCACCCACUCCAUGGUAAUGUUCCAUUCCAUUUUUGGGAGGAUGUAGUCUUUAUGGUAAUCUACUUUAUCAAUCAUACACCGACUUCUGUCCUUGAUGACAAUAUCCCUCAAAACCCGGUCCCAAGGGGUUGACAUUGUCCAAAUUAUCCCUUCCAUUUCAGUUGCAUUUGUUCUCAAUGUACCUAGAUGUCCUUUUAAUUUACUUUCAGUUAGUCGAUUAACUUAGUCCCAUGACUAUAUUAUUACUUUUACUAAUGGUAAUUUACCCUGUAGGACCGGAGUUCAGGACGGACGGUUGGAAUUGGAUGUGAGUCUCAAGGCCUCUAUUACCUUUCUCUAUCAUCCAAGACAUGAUCUGCCACAGUUCCCCUCAUAUUAUCCAUGCUCAGCUAGGACGCCUAAGUCUUACCAAACUUCAAAAGUUAGUGUCAAGUUUGUCUAAGUUGUCUACUUUACAUUGUGAGUCGUGUCAGUUAGGGAAACACACUCGUCGUCAUUUUCUUGAUCGAGUCAAUAAAAGGGUUACGUCCCACUUUGCUUUAGUUCACUCUGACGUUUGGGGUCCUUCUCGUAAUGUGUCUACUAUAGAGUCUAAGUAUUUUUUUACUUUUAUUGAUGAUUACCCUCGUUGUACGUGGUUAUUUUUAAUGAAAAAUAGAUCUGAACUGUUUUCUAUUUUUGAGCAAUUUUAUCAAGAAAUUAAAACUCAAUUUGGUGUUUCUAUUUGUACUUUACGAAGUGAUAAUGCUCGGGAAUAUUUGUCUCAUCAAUUUCAAAAUUUUAUGGCUUCCAAUGGUAUUCUUCACCAAACGUCAUGUCCUCAUACACCCCAACAAAAUGGAGUAGCCGAACGCAAAAACCGGCAUCUCAUUGAAACCACCCACUCCAUGGUAAUGUUCCAUUCCAUUUUUGGGAGGAUGUAGUCUUUAUGGUAAUCUACUUUAUCAAUCAUACACCGACUUCUGUCCUUGAUGACAAUAUCCCUCAUACAGUCCUCUUUCCCCAUACCCCCUUCAUCCACUACCUCCUUGUGUCUUAGGGUCCACGUGUUUUGUUCACAAUUUAUUUUCUGUUCUCGACAAACUCUCAACUCGAUCACUCAAGUGUCUCUUUCUUGGAUAUCAUCGGUCCCAAAAGGGCUAUCGUUGUUAUUCUCUUGCACUACACCGAUACGUUACAUUAACUGAUAUUAGCUUUUCGAGUCUGUACUAUAUUUUGAACCGACCCAUGUAGCUACUAAGCCCCAUCAGGACAUUAAUUUUGAACCUCCUCAAGUAGUUAUCCCUAUUUCACUCACUCUUAUUCCUCUCGAACCUGUCGAGUCUACCCCCCAAACUCUCCGACCACUACAAACAUAUCAUCGUCGUCGCCCACCCUCAGUUGUGCCAGUUCCUGUUUCCAUUGUAGACUCUCCUCCGACGCCACCACCGGAUCCGGCCCUACCACCUAAGCAUGACCUUCCCAUUGCUUUUUGUAAGGAUAUUCGCACAAGUAAUCCAUCUCCUUAUUAUAUUAAUUUGUGCUAUCAUCGACUUUCUCCCUUGCAUUACACUUGCUUGUCUUCUGUUUCAAUUCCUAAAUCUCUAGAUGAAGCAUUAUCCCACCCUAAGUGGAGGCAAGCAAUGCAUGAUGAGAUGUGUGCCCUACAAAGUAGUAGUACUUGGGAACUGGUCCUUUUACCUCAUGGGAAGUCUUUAGUAGGUUGUCGUUGACUCUAUAUGGUGAAGGUUGGCCCUGAUUGUUAGAUUGAUCGAUUUAAGACUCGCUUGGUGGCCAAGGGAUAUACUCAAAUUUUUGGGUUGGAUUACAGUGAUACCUUCUCACUUGUUGCCAAAAUGGCAUAUGUCAGACUGUUUUUCUCCAUUGCAACAAUUCGAUAUUGGUUUCUCCAUCAACUUGACAUUAAAAAUGUUUUUUUGCACAGUGACCUUGAAGACGAAGUUUAUAUGGAGCAACCACUAGGAUUUGUUGCUCAGGGGGGGUCUUCCACCAUGGUUUGUCGGCUAUAUAGGUCCCUUUAUGGUCUUAAAUAGUCUCCUAGAGCUUGGUUAGGCAGAUUCAGCACGGUAGUACAAGAGUUUGGUAUGAUUCGUAGUGAAGCCAAUCACUCUGUAUUUUAUCGUCAUUCAGCCCAAGGGUGCAUCUAUCUUAUUGUUUAUGUGGAUGACAUUGUCAUAACUGGUAGGGAUCAACAAGGCAUACUCCAAUUGAAACAACAUAUUUCUAAUCAGUUUUAGACUAAAGACCUCGGUAAACUCCGUUAUUUUUUGGGUAUUAAGGUAGCUCAAUCCAAGGAUAGUCUUGUAAUUUCACAAAGGAAAUAUGCUAUGGAUAUUCUUGAAGAAACAAGUCUAUUAAAUGCCAAGCUAGUUGAUACUCCUAUGGAUCUAAAUGUCAAACUCUUACAUAAUCAGGGGGAGCCUCUAUCAUAUUCAAGAAGAUAUAGGAGAUUGGUUGGAAAAUUAAACUAUCUCACAGUCACCCGUCCUAAUAUUUCCUUCGUUGUCAGUGUGGUAAGCCAGACCUCAAAUUCUCUUGCCAAGAACAUAUGGAUGCUGUAAUCCGGAUCCUUAAAUACAUCAAAAGUGCUCCUAGAAAAGGUCUCAUUUAUGAAGAUAGAGGACAUACUCAAAUAGUUGGUUACUCAUAUGCUAAUUGGGAAAGUUCACCCAUUGAUAGACAAUCCACUCCUGGGUAUUGUGUACUUGUCGGGGGAAAUUUAAUAUCUUGGAAGAGUAAUAGACAAAAUGUUGUUGCAAGAUCCAGCACUGAGGUAGAAUACAGGGUCAUAGGACUAGUAACAUGUGAACUCAUCUGACUGAAACAGUUACUAAAAGAACUUCAAUUUGAAGAGGUCAGCCCAAUGACACUAAUAUGUAAUAAUCAAGUUGCAUUGCACAUUGCCUCAAAUUCUGUUUUUCAUUAUAGGACCAAGCAUAUAGAGAUAGACUACCAUUUUGUUAGAGAAAAUAUCGAAUCGGGCGACAUUAUCACUAGUUUUGUCAAUUCUAAUGAUCAGUUGGCAGAUGUUUUUACAAUGUCAUUGUGAGGUCCUAGAAUUAGUUAUAUAUGUACUAAGUUUGGUAUAUUUGAUGUGCAUGCUCCAGCUUGAGGAGGAGUAUUGAAAAUAAAAUAACAUUAUAUAAAUAAAUAGAAUAUCUUGUAAUUAUUCCAAUUAUUAUGUGUAUUUAUUACUCAUAGUCUAUAUAAAGAACUUUCGUUCUGUAGUUGAAAUACACGAGUUAUUCAACAUGUCUCUCAAUAUUCUCUUCUCAUUCAAUAAUUCCUUACCAUGUAUGUGCCUUAGGAACUUGUUAACAAGACCUUUCACUUUUGAAGGGCACUUUUGAGAAUACAGUAAUUUUUUAUGAAAUUAAGAAGAUUAAUUGCAUUAAAUUAAAUGUCUUAAUAAGAGUUGAGUCAGUUAUUUUUGCUUAUAGACCAGAGUAGUAGGUACUAUAGCGGCACUAUAACGCUAUAACGUAGUGGUAUUUGAACAAAUUGCUAUUGUUCGUCGAUACACUAUUUAGUACAAAAUAUUUCAAAUAGUAGCGCGCUAUAGCACUUUUGUGUAGCGGAAUUGGACCACUCCACUAUUUUCCACAAUCCGCAGUUGACAACAUUGACCAGAUGAACUAAAGCUAACAACAUCAGAUAUGAUAGACUCACCUCAAAAGGAGCAAAACCAGUUUCCUCAUUCAGGUUGAAGGCUGAAUUUCCAGUCAGCAAUCUCAACACAGGCUGAACAGCACAAUAACAAGCCAACAUUCCAAGCAUAUAAUUAUAGUAAUGUGAUUUCAAACAAAACCUUUGAGCUUUAACAUUACAACUGAUAAGCCAUAUUCUAUAUAAGCACAAUCCCAUAAGAACCAAAUUUGAAGUAGAGGUAACAAGAGUGUUGAUUGCACAAGGUGUAUAUGACCCAAAAGUACUAUCUACAAUUUUAUCCCAAAUACUGUUUGGUUCUGGUUUGCAGUACCAAAUCAAUGGUUCAAAACCCAUCUUUUUUUUCUAUUGUCAGGGAGAUGGAGAAUUUGUUAGCAGCAGAUAUUAAACUCUCUUAAUACUUUCAACUCAUAUCACAGUUAUCAAUAUCUUUGGAUCAAUUAGUUGAAACAAUGAUGAAGCUAGAAAAGUCAACGCAAGAAGCCUAUGUUUUUUUUGCAUAUUUUUCUAACAUGCAACUACUUGCAUGUUGCAGCAACCUUUACUUUUCAACGCCAUGUUUCAACAUAAUAGUCUAAACAAAUCAGUAAAACAAUAGUCUUCUUUUUAAAUCAUUUUUUUUAAGACUUCUCAUCAUCAGUCCUUACAAAAAUUAUUCACAAAUAGUCCCGAUUUUGUUUUUUAUAUGGACUAUUUUGAGGAACUAAAAACAUUCAUUUUUUGUAAUAAAAAAAAUUAUUUAGGAACUAAAUUUGAAAGGUCUUAAUUUUAUGAGGACUAAAAAUGUAUUUAACUCAAAGAGAAAAUUAAAUAAUUAAGUCUAAAUAAAUCACUACACAAUAGGAAACAUGGUUUUAACUUUUAAGAUAUAUUUUAUUUACAUUUUUUUUAAUGUUUCUAUUGUAUAUUUGAUAAUUUUGCUAGUUUGGCUGUAGAAUUAAUAGACUUUCCCUUUAAAACCGAGCAUGGAGUUCUUCAUCAAAAUGAAACCUUCCAAGCUGUAGAAAAAAUAAAAACAUAGUUAUUGACUUAUUGUAUUUAGUCAAUUUAUUUAUAUAGAAAACUAAGAAGCGCCCUACAAACUUAUAAAUUACCCCUAGGCAUUUCUUGCAUGUAAAUGGAAAUGUUCCGCAAAAAUUGAAUGGUAAACCACUAUUUUGGUUCUUGUAAUUGUAGGGCGCUUUUACUUUGCUAUCUGGCUCACUAAAAACUUAAAUUAGUCCUCCAAUCAUCGUAACGUCAAUCAGUUUAGUCUUUUAAAUUAUAAUGGUAAGAGUCUAUUUGGACAUUGAAUUGUAUCUUUGAAGUACUAUUUUGAUGAUUUAAAAACUAAUUUACAUUUUUAAUUAAGCCUGGGACUAAAAUAACAACACUAUUCACCUUCAAUGACUAAAAGGGUGGUGUACCCAAAAUUGAACUAGUAGUAUUUUGCUGAUAAUAUAAUUAAUGAAUAAUGACUGCAAUAUUAGAUACAAAUGGAAAUGAAUUGAGGAUAGGAAAAAGAAAUCAAAGCAACUUGAAAUUGACAUUUUAGACUAGUGACUGACCACCAGUAUAAGUAGACAGUAGUAGCGCUACAUACGCUGCCCAAUGUUCUUUAAACUGCACGACGGCGUUUUGGUGGCUUUGAAGAGCUCUACCGUGGCCUCAUUCAGGAUCUUUCCGGUAAAUAUGUUAUUGGGAUUUUAUAUUUGCGUUAAGGGUAGUUUAGUCUGUAAAGGACUUAAUAUUUAUAUCUUAGUAUUGAGUUGUAUUAUGUAAUUUUUUUAAUAGAAUUCUAGUCUUUUUUUUAUUCCUCCUUUUUUUUAAUACGGUAUCUAGAACUUCACACCAUUAAUUAGUCGAGUUACAAAAAUUUGGACAUAUGUUAAAAAAAAAUAAAAACUUAUCUUAGGGAUCACAUUUAUACUUAUACCUUAUGUAAAUUAUCUAUUUUCUUAUUUUUAUUUCUUAUCUAUUCAAUAAACUUCAAGAUGAAAAUAUAGGGACAGAUUGGCCCUAUUUAGACUAAUCAUAUAUCUAAAGGGAAAGAUUGGCCCUAUUUAGACUAAUCAUAUAUCUAAAUUUACAGUUGAAAUUGUAACACCCUAAAUUUUAUAAUAAACUAUUUUAUUAAUUAAAUAGGAUUUUAAAUAAUUAAUUUGAUGUUAAAAUUAUUAUAAAAUAUAUGUGAAUAAACUUUGUGAUUAAUUUUUCGUUAUAUAGGUGAUUUAUAUGAUGUGCUAGUUUUAUAAGUAUUAGAUUACAUGAGCGAUAUAAAUAAUAAAUAUUAUAUUUUACUCUUUGAUCUAUUUUUAAAAAAAUAAUAGUAUUUUAGUGUAUUAUAUAAAUUUAUUAAAAAAAAAAAUUUAUACGAUUUUACGUGUAUAUACGUGUACCCAAUUAAUGUAAUAUUUUUAUGUGCGUUUGACUGAUAUUAAGUAUGUACGUAGUUAUAUUUUAAUUAUUUAUAACUAUUUUCUAUUUUAGUUAUUUUUUUUAUAAAUAAUUAUCUUGAGAUAGCAGUGAUAUUGUGUUUGAUUUCCUUUAUUUUUAUAUAUUUAUUAUGACAUUGUGAUUUUAUAUAUAUUUAUUAAGAUUUAGUAAUUAAUAUAAAGUGUUGAUGUUAUACUUAUUUAUUUUAUAAUUUUGAUUAUUCUCUAAUGAUGGUAAUAUUUUAAUUUGAGUAUUUGGAAAAAUAAGUGUUAUUAUAGGGAUUAUUUUGAAUAUGAGAGUUUUGGUUAUUAAUGUAUUUUAAAAGAUUAAUUAUUUUUAUUUAUAAAUUAUUAGUUUUGAAAUAUUAAUAAUGAUUUAUUAAUGAAAUUGUGUUUUAAAAAAAAAUAAAAAUAAAACUAGUAAAACCUAAAAGAAGACCAAUGGGUUUGACCCAUUUGUAAACCUUAAUUGUUAAUAAAAUAAAACAAACAAAAAAAGGAAGGGAGUUGGACGGCGGCCGUAAAACCAAAGAGAAACCCAACAACAAUCUAUAGUUUGACACCGAUGAUCGAUAAUUGUUCCAGAAAAGUUUGUCUGUUCUUGUCCAAAUUUCAGUAUGUUGUUUUAUUCAUUUAGGUAGUUAAAUAAACAUACUUCCUCAGAUUUUUUAACCAUCCAAAUUUCUCUCUAAAAUACCCGAUAUCUCCGUUUAUAAAAAUUCCUUAGUUUGAACCGUUCUCCUUCACCGUAAGUCCGAUUUGAGUGAAACCAACGCCAAAACGACCGUGUGAAAAAUUUCUAUUUUAUCCAAUGAUUUGUUUUCUGAUUUAUGGUAAGUUUCCUUGACCGAAUUUCGAAUUUAGUUUUUAUAGUAUCUUCUCAUAAACUAUUUUUAACGUUUACCCAUAAACUGUCGAGUUACAUUGAUUGAUGGACAAAGAGUCAAUGAACAAAGGCUGUUUGCUCGUGGAAUCGUAUUCGUGUGUGAAAGCGUCGAAAUAAGGUAAGGGGUGAGAGAGCGUCUGAAUUCAUGAGUAUAAUAUAUUGUGAGAUGAACGGAAAAACCGUAUUUUCCAAUGAUUCAUCCGGGGAAAACCGUAUUCAUGAGUAUAAUAUAUUGUGAGAUUAAAAUGUGAAAUAGAAAUAUUUAUAAGGUGUUGAUUGAUUUAAUUUCAUUAAAUGUGUGAUAUUUUAUAUUAUUGUGAUAUUUAAUUUUAUUGUGAUAUUUGAAUUAAUUUCGCUAAAUGUUGGGUAUUUGAUAUUAUUGUGAUAUUUGAUUUAAUUUCGUUAAAUGUGUGACAUUUGAUAUAUUGUGAUAUUUGAUUUAAUUUCUUUAAAUAUGUGGUGUGUGAUAUUAUUGUGAUAUUGGUUGUUGAAUUAAUUUUAUGCAUAUGUUUGAUUAGAUGAGUUUAAAUGAUGUUAUAAUAAAAAUAGAUGUGUUGUGAUAAUUAUAUGUAAUGAUGAUAAUGUAUGAUUAAUAAUGGUGAUGUGAUAAAUUUGUGAUGAAUAUAUGUGUUGAUGUAUGAUUGAUGAUAGUGAUUCUAUAAAUUUGUGAUGAGUUUAUGUGAUGAUGAUGAUGAUGUGUGAUUAAUUAUAGUGAUGUUAUAAAUUGUGAUGAGAAUAUUGUGAUUUCAAUUUGUAUUUGAGAUGACGGUAUUAAUGGAGUAUCAUAUACCAACGAGGGGAGAAAAUAUUGUGAAUUUGUGAAGUGGAGAUUAUUUUGUCAUCAUAUAGAUAGGGUCUGACAAGCCUAGUGAUUCUGGGGAAGUACAACUGAAUGAGCCUGAUCGUGGCGGUCUGUUGUCGAGCCUUAAGGCAAGAUUGUUAGACCUUGGAGGUAUUCGGGUGGGGAAUUCCUAGGCGACUUGGAGGUAGCACUCCAAAUGUCGGGAGCUACCACGCAACACAUGUUUACCUCGACUGUCACGUAUAUAUGUCUCGAGUUGAGUUGAGGGGAUCUAUGAGGACAGAGCCAAUUUGAAUUGUCCGUCCACCGGGAUGGUGGCAUAGUAUCAAACUUCCUAACCAAGUACUUCAGAGUUAGAAUGAUACCACAUUGUGAAGUAGAGUCUAAGCUCAUGCAUAACAUUGCAUUUCCUUGUGAUUGUUUCGUUGUGAUUGAUGUGUUUCAAAAGUAAUGAUAAUUACUCUUAGAUGAUUUGAUGCAUAUUAUAAUGAGAUAAUUAUUUUACUUGAGUGAAUUUGAUGUUAGAAUAUGAUACUAUUUACUUAAAUAUUUUGAUAUAUCGUAAUAUGAUUAUGAUACGGUCUAUUAUGAUUGUUGUGUGUUCUUCUUACUUAUAUUAUACUAUUAACAUGAUUUCGAAACUCACCUCCUUCGUUGUUUGUGUUUGACUGGCUUGGCCCUGCGUUUGCGAAAUCGCAGUUGUUACAGGUUAAUGAAUCUUGAAGUUCAAGUUUGGGAGGAACUACGCUCUGAUAGGUGAUACCGGGGAUAAGGGCUUAAAUUGUAUUUUACUUAUUUAAUUUGAAACGAAUUUUUGUAUGAAAAUCUUAGAAGUACUAGUAAGUUUUUAAAUUAAAUCAAGUAAUAAUACUUAAAUCAAACUUAUUGAGAUUACAUUAUUUUAACGGAGAAAAUAAAUUUAAAGUGUUCCUUUUGAUUUUUGAAAAACGUGAUAUUCUAAGUUAAAAAUUACAUUUUUAUUUUCUUGUAAACAUAUUUUUAUUUAUCUACUACAAAUUUUAUAGAAAUAUAAUAUAAAUUAAUAUAUAUAUAUAUUAUUUUGGGGUUUAGAGUAUCACAGAAAUAGUAGUAGUAAUUAUUGGAAUCAAUGUAAACAUGAUCUAGUAAAAAUAAGAUAGUCAAAUAAAGUGUCUUAAAGUCAAUAAUAGUGAUGCAAUGGAGAAAUCAGCAUGCUAGGGUGGUAGAUUCACCCUAAGGGUUCUUCCCUCUUCUCCUUGGCCGAAAAAUCUUGUGCCUUUAAAGGACUCUUACAAAUGAAAGAGCCAAAGUUUGUCUUAGAAUGUCUUCUUUGUUGUCCAUCUGUGUGAGAAGCAUUUUUCAAACUCCCUUGUUUUGAGUUCUCUUUCUCAAGUCUCCCUGAACUCAGGAGGUUUAAUUUUGGAAGUUAUUGCCUCUGCUUGGACAGAACUCGCCCUUGAGUUUAUAUAUAGUUCAUCAUCCAAAUUUGGUGAAAGAUUGGAAACAUUAAUUAAAUAUUUGACUCUUUUCUUUCUUAUCUAUGAAGGGUACUUAUAUAUUUUCUUUUGUAGAGUGUGGUUGUAUAGGGAUAUUUUUCGAAGCUAUUGUUUCCAACAAUAAAGGCACUCAACUUCUUUUCAUGGUGUUUUAUGGAGGCGUUUGUUUUGCGGACUAAAAAACUAUUCUAGAGAAUAAUUUACUUGAGAAUAUAAGGAAAGAUAUUUAGUUUCUGGAUAUUUUUUUAAAAAGAAAUAUUUGGAACAUAACUUUAAUAUAAGAUUUUUGUAAAAAAAUUAUAUAACCCAUUUUUUCACUUGGGAAGAAAUCCAUGAGAAUUAUGGAAGUUAUUUCUAUCAUGAGAAUAACUUUUUCUCAAACUUGUAACAAACAUGAUAUACUUAUUUUUUAAACAUAACACCUUAAGUUGGUAACAAUGUUUGGUCGUUGGUUUAUGGUGUUUUCAAUACAAGUGUGAUUGAUCCCAAACUUGUGGAGACUUUGAUCAUUCCCAUCCCUAAGGUUGAUUGUCCCUCUUCUUUGAAUGAUUUUUGCUCCAUCGGCCUUUGAACCGUGCUUCUUUAAAUCAUUUUUAAAGUUUUGGUUCAUAGAAUUUGUCCUUUCUUAUAUUCAUUUAUUUUUUUCUGUCUCCAAAGCAGUUUAUCCCAGAGACGGGCAUCUCUAACAAUGUUAUUAUUGCCUAAGAGAUCUUUCAUCAUAUGCACUAGAGGGUGUUUAUUAUUUAAGAUUGAUUUUGAGAAAAUUUAUGAUCGUGUUGAUUGGUCGUUUCUUAAGCUCACUCUUGAAGAAUUUAAUUUAUCCACCAUUAUUAUUACGUUCAUUAUGUGUUGUAUCAAUCCGUCCUCUCUUGCUUUAAGUGGAAUGAUAAGAAACUUGGUAACUUCGCUCCUAAAAAGGCUAUGAUACAAAGAGGUCUUUUAUCUCCUUAUCUUUUCCUCUUUUGUAUGGAAAAGUUGUUCAUUAUAAUACAAGAGAACAUUUCCUCUGGUCAUUGGUUACCAGUGAAGAUCUCUAGGGACGAUCCUUCCAUUUCUCUCAAGUUAGGUUGGUCUAGAAUGUCAUCAAUGACUUUUCUAUGGAUUCAGGAGUGAAGGUUAACCUUCAGAAAUCUAGCUUCCUCCCUUCAGUGAAUGUUCCUAGAUGUAAGGUUCACAACUUAAUUUGAAGCUAUUGUGGAAUUGCAUCAUACUUACAAACUUGGAUUUCCUAUGUUUUAAGAAGAGUUAGAACUUGUGAUUUUAACUAUAUUUUGGAUAAAAUUAAUGGUCGUCUUAUUGGUUGGAAGAGUAACUUGCUUAGUAGGGUUUGUCGGGUGACCCUUGUGAUAAUUAUUAGAAAUAAGACUUAUCUACUAAAUUUGAAUACUAAUUUGUCUGUCUUUUGAGCAAAGGUUACUAGAAUUUUAGUUUUAAAUUUAUGAUUUAUGUCUUUUAGUUAUGUUGUCAUUUACUAUGUCUUUUAUGAAAAUUAAUAUUUAGUGUGUGAUUUUGUAGAUAAAAGAUUGGAAGAUGUGUCCCAUAAUCAAAAUAUUGUUGGAAAUUGCUACAUUAAGAUGCACAACAGAUUGAUAAGUAGUAAAACAAGCAAAUUGUGUGGGUUUCAGUUACACCCAAUAUUCCUUCAAAGGUUUUAGGAUACCCCCAGUAUGAGAAGGUGCUAAAAGAAAGAGCAAUUGGACCACUUUUGCUUUAUUGGGCCAAAACUAUACUUUUUGAGCUAAAAGACAAAAGUGGAGGUACAAGGAAAAGAGAUAGAGAGCCAACUAUCCUAUAAAAUGGAGACAAGCACUGAAUUCAAGGCAAAAGGAAUCAGACCUAAAUAUCGAAACCUUAGUCGUCAUUUUCAUUUGCGAUCAUCAUCCACCAUUAAAGCUUUUUGUAUGAAGUAUUGUUGCUCAAAGAAGGAAACUUGCAAACACAUUGAAGGAGGAGUUGCCAUAGCUGCUUCAUAAAACUUGUGUUUUCUGUUAACAAUGAAAAGAGGAAGAAAGAGGAAGAGGAGAAACAACCACUCUAGAGUUUCAUAAUAUAGAAUGAACCAAACUUGAGUUAAUAGGGUUACAAUGAGUAUAUAUAUAAAAGAAUAGAAAUGUCUAAAAUACCCUUACUACUAAUAUAUAAUAACAUUAUCUAACAUCUCUCCUCAAACUCACGAUGCAUUAACAUGGAGCAUCGAGAGUUUGUCAACUAAAAAACGAAAAUGUUUAAUGGAAUGCAUCUUUGUGAACAAAUCAGCAAUCUAUAAAGAAGAAGAGUGUGAAUAGUGGUCAUCUUGGCUACAAGAGCAAAAGUUUCUUCAUAAUCCAUACCAUAGUGUUGAGAGAAACCCUUAGCAACAAGACGUGUUUUGUAACGCCCAACUGACCCAUCAGACUUGGUUUUGAUCUUGUAUAACCAACGAGACCUAAUAACACGUUUUCUAUGAGGAAGAGGUACUAAUUCCCAAGUAUUGGUUUUGUGCAAUACAAAUAGUUCUUCUGCCAUAGCCUGCUGCCAAAGAGGAUCAAGAACAACCUCUUUAUAGGAAGAGGGCUCAGACAAAUUUGACGAGAGGGGUAACGAGGACGAUCAACAAUCGUAGAAGGUGGUUGGACAACUGGGGGGACAAGAGGGAUGUCACCAAAGAAGAAACAACAAUCAAAUAGAAGAACCAACAAAGAGAGAAGCAACGAAAGAAGAAGGAGAAGCCAAAAAGAGGAUCAUUAGCUAUACCAAACAAUCACAACAAAGAGAGAAACCAAACAUGUAUCAUUCAGACAUUUUAUUUUAUUUUAAUAUUUUACCUUAGGAAUUGAGAUAAUUAUUCUUAAAAAAAUUGUUGGUUACUAUUGUAAUGUGUUAUUUUAAUUUUUAAUAAUAAUAAUAAUAAUAAUAAUAAUAAUAAUAAUAAUAAUAAUAAUAAUAAUAAUAAUAAUNNNNNNNNNNNNNNNNNNNNNNNNNNNNNNNNNNNNNNNNNNNNNNNNNNNNNNNNNNNNNNNNNNNNNNNNNNNNNNNNNNNNNNNNNNNNNNNNNNNNNNNNNNNNNNNNNNNNNNNNNNNNNNNNNNNNNNNNNNNNNNNNNNNNNNNNNNNNNNNNNNNNNNNNNNNNNNNNNNNNNNNNNNNNNNNNNNNNNNNNNNNNNNNNNNNNNNNNNNNNNNNNNNNNNNNNNNNNNNNNNNNNNNNNNNNNNNNNNNNNNNNNNNNNNNNNNNNNNNNNNNNNNNNNNNNNNNNNNNNNNNNNNNNNNNNNNNNNNNNNNNNNNNNNNNNNNNNNNNNNNNNNNNNNNNNNNNNNNNNNNNNNNNNNNNNNNNNNNNNNNNNNNNNNNNNNNNNNNNNNNNNNNNNGUAAUGUGUUAUUUAAUAAUAAUAAUAAUAAUAAUAAUAAUAAUAAUAAUAAUAAUAAUAAUAAUAAUAAUAAUAAUAAUAAUAAUAAUAAUAAUAAUAAUAAUAAUAAUAAUAAUAUUAAUAAAAGGAACCGUUAAAAACAAAUUUAUGUCUUAGGUUGAAAUAUCACUCUCUCUGUUUAAUACCACGUCCGUUUAAUACCACGUUACAGUUUAACCUUCCCCACGUCUGGCUUAAGGUUUCCCUGACUUAACUUUCUCCACUUCUGCCAACCUUCCCCACUUCUGGUUUAAUGUUCCCCACUCCUGCCUUAACUUUAUCCGCUUCUGGCUUAACUUCCCACGGCUUAAAGUUCAUCCUUUUUUGAUAAAAAAGAAACAAAAACAAAACAGACGUCUUCCAUUCAAAAAACACUCUGCGAUAUAAAAAAAGGUCUAGGAGAGAAAAAGAGAGACCACUUUGAUAGAAAAGGCAACCACCAAAAGAGAAAAGAGAGGAGUAACUCGAUUCCCGAAUUUGUUAAAUAAGUAUCAGAAAAUCAUCGAUUGCGCAUUCGUUAACCGUUUGAUCAAGCUGAUUUUCAGACAGCAGGUUCGCAGCAUUCAAACUCACAUUUUCAAUGGUCGGAUCGGCGAAAUGACGUUCAGAGAGGGAGAAACCGUGCUCGCACAGCAGCAGGUGUGAAAUGAGUGAGACAAGAGUUUGUGAAACAUAAUUGUAAAUAUAACUCUAGUAAUGGUAAGGGUUGUUAUUAUUAUGACCUCGAAAUAAUCGGAAUGUAUCAGUUCUUUAAGAAAUUAAAUCAAUUUCAUACACACAGCGGAAUUAAAUUGCGGCAUACAAGAUUAGCAAUUACAAGUAGAUGGAUAAGAGAUUAACCAAGAUGCAUGCGAGUCAAAUUUCCAGUUUAAACAAUAUUACCUAACACAGAAUAUGUUUAACAUGCAUCUAAUAUUAAUCACACAUACAAAUAUUGCAAGAUAGAAAAUUAAAGGAGUUAAGGGUUAGAGAAGAUUGCACCAAGAAUUUAUCCUGGUUCAGUUGUCAACGAGACAACCUACAUCCAGUCCUAACAAUCCAAUCGGAUUUCAUAUUUUCUUCUCCAAUAGAAAGAAUCGAUUACAGAUUGUCCAGUUUCAUCCCCGAAACCUAUCUAUCUCUAAUGAUCUCUUUCCUAUUGAUCACCCUCUGAUCCUUGUAGAUACUCAGCAGUCUAACACAGAAUCAAAGUACGACUCCUUCUUGUUGAGCCCUCUCACCCAAGAAGGUAGCCACCAGUUUCAAGCUGGCUUUCUCGCUUUCGUUUCUUUUCAAAGUCUUAUUACAAACUGAAUAAAACAAGAACAAAAAGAAGUCUUCAAUCUUGAUCAAUGUGACUUCUCACGAAUCUGGAUAUUCAAGGAUUGUUCAUGAGAACAUUGAGAAAAAGAUUGAAAGACAGUUUAUAUAGUUUCUGAAAAACAUCUUAAUAAAUCGAUUUGCCAAUCGAUUCCUUAAAGUUAUAAAAUAGGUCUAAUCGAUUUGCCAAUCGAUUAUCGCGUGUCUUGUUUUUCUUGAAUCUUGAAACUACAUAAGCCAAUCGAUUUACCAAUCGAUUCUUUAAACAAACUCUUUUUAGUGAUUAUGUUAAGACUUAUAUGCAUCGAUUUCGUAAUCGAUUGCAGGUUUUAUGUUCAAAUUAAAAUCACACCAAUCGAUUUCGUAAUCGAUGUAUUCGGUUUCAUAAUCGAUUAACAAAUACUCAGAAUCGAUUUGGCCACAAGCUCAAAGUUCACUGUGAUUUCAAAAAGUUUCUUUCAAUCGAUUUGCCAAUCGAUUGUGUUCAAAACAGUGACUUAGCUAUUUUCAUGUUAAUCGAAGUGCCAAUCGAUUUGUUUGUAUUUUCCUGAAAAGUUCUUACCAGAUGUUUAAUUCAAUCGAUUUCCCAAUCGAUUGCAACCAAACUUAACAUGAUUGAAAUUUUCACAAUAGAUUGUCCAAUCGAUUGUGUUUGUCACAGGUGAAGUUAUUUUGCAAAUAGUACUUAAGCAAUCGAUUUGCCAAUCGAUUACCCUCAAAACUGGAGUGUCACUGUGACUUGUACAAUCGAUUUCCCAAUCGAUUUGUUUCAAUCAGGUUUACUUUGUGAAGUGUACAAUCGAUUUGUCAAUCGAUUAGCCUGUAAAACAGGGUGCCACUGACUUGUGCAGUUUUCAUUUCUAAUUGUGUCAGUCGAUUGCCCAAUCGAUUAUACAAUCACAAACAGUUAUGUUUCCUUACACCCUUGUUAUGAAAUCGAUUUCCCAAUCGAUUUACUCAGUCAAAAUUCAACUUUUGUUGAUUUCUUGUGUUCCAAGCAAUUUGUUUCAAGUGUGUAGGAUUGGAUUGUUGUUCCUGAAAUCUUGCUCAAUUAAAAUGUUAGAUUUAUCAUAUGAUGUAUGAACAUUGUAUGUUUGUUAAUUAUGUCAAAACUAGGAUUAAGAGGACUAAAGUCCAACAAGGGCAUCACUCCAUUCGCUUUCCUAUUUGAAUUAUAUGUGAUAUAAAUGUAUUGUGAUGUUAUUUAUUGGUUUUGUUUGUGUUAUAUUCAAAAUGAAUAUUAAUAAUUGUUGUGUUUCACAUGUUGCAAGUGUGUAAGAAUAAAUGUUAUAUGAUAUGUUGUUAUAAUGGUUAUGUUGAGCAUGUUCAAAGUACGAAGAAUAAAUGUUAUGUGAUAUGUUGUUAUAAUGGUUGUGUUGAACAUAUUCAAAGUGUGGAAAAUAAAUGUUGUGUGAUAUGGUGUUAUAAUGGUUGUGUUGAACAUAUUCAAAGUGUGAAGAAUAAUUGUUAUGUGAUAUGUCGUUAAUAAGUUAGUAUAGCAUUAUAUUUUAUUAAAGUGUCAACAUUCAUGCAUUCAUUCGCAGUCGUGUGGUGGUGCGUCCAUAAUUGGUUGGAGCACACAGAUCCUUGCGGGGAUGUUGAGUUAGUGGUGUUGCUUGGAAGGACCCACGAAGCCGGGAGGCGAUAUUCCGGAAUCAUUACAUUGACAUAUAGAUUAAGUCAUAAGGUCUGUUUGAGUAUGCAUUGAAUUAUGUGUGAUUAACGUUUUAUAGAGAUAAAUGAUACAUUGUAUCCCCUGAUCAUUAGUUGGUUGAAAUAAUGUUAUUAACGAUGUAUAUAUUAUACUGAUAAAUUUGUAUAUUUUGUUAGUUUGGGUGAGGCAAUGUUAAUAAUGAAUGAGAAUGUUAAUAAUGAAUGAUGUGAAUACUAUGGUCAUGAAUGUACCUGCUGCUAGUUUCGGGUGAAUUAAUAUGUGAUAUUGUACUUGUUUUUAUUACUGUACCUCUUAAUUAUUUGGGUGAAUUAAUCUUAUUAAUUAUGUAUAUCGUAAUGUUAUAUUUGUAUUGUCACUGCACUUGUUGUUGGUCGUUUGGGUGAAUUAAUGUUAUUAAUUACGCAAAUACUGUACUGUUACAUUUUCAUUGUUAGUGUAUCUUUGGUGAGUUGUGAUUUUAACUGUUAAAUGAAGUAAAUGAUUUAUUUAUAUUUUUCUAUAACAACUAUAUAUGCAUGCAUAUUUGCUCUGUGUUUGUUAUUUGGAGAUGACCCUUACAUUUGACAGGACGUCACAUAUAGUGUUAUUUGAGCGAAUAAUAUCACGAUCAACCUAAUAGGAGAAAUGCGAGAAAGUAUAAUAGCAUGCAGUUUGAGGCUCCGAGAUACUUCUGUAUUGGUGUUAGACUUGUUUGGUGAGUUUUCCACAAGUCCAAAGUUUGUGACCAACUAGGAUCUAUGUUUGGGUAGUCAAACGUCGAGAGUUUUGACUCUACGAGUUUCUUUGGUUUAACAUAUUAAAUUUACUUUUAGUGAUUGUAAAUAUUUUGAUUCUUUAUUUUGAAAAUAAAACUAAAAAAUAUUAUUAAUUGAUUUUAGGAUAGAUGAGUAUUUAAAAUAAUCAUAAAUAAAUAAAAACGAAUUUGAAAUUUUAAGUUUAGAAUUUCGGUAGUUAAUGUCCGGAAAAAGCAGGAUGUUACAAAACCAAUAAGAAAUCAUAUCAAAUAGUCACAAUCAAGAGAAGAACCAAGCCAACAAAAAAUCAAACCGAAAAAGGAGCGAUCAAAAAAAGGAGCAACAACCAUAUCAAAACAAACCCUUAAUAUAUAAUAUAAAAGCCCAAUAACAUACUACGUAACAUCUGAACAAUCAAUAUGGAGAGAAGCAACAAAGCAGAUCACUAGAGAGAGGAGCAAUCAAACAGAAGAAGCAACAGAGAGAGCAACAAUACAGAAGAAAGCAACCAAAGAGAUAGGAGAUACGAACAAUUAAAUUACCAACCAAAUCAGCAAAAAACCACAACAAUUGAAAGCAUGUGAACCAAACCAAAAUCAACUCUUUAAUACUGAUCAUAACAAACAAACAACAGAAAGAGACAUGUUAUGUGUGGAGACAGAACCAACGCCUGCUAGUGGCAUAAGAGUGCCAUCAGCAGUCAUAACCGACACAAACGAGACAAGUUUUACAGACACAAGAUUUAUCAUCGUAUGUCAUAUGAUGAGAUGCUCCCGAAUCAAGAUUCCAUAUGGAAGGAGAUAUAUUUGACAUACCAGAGAAGUUCAAACCUUUAGAAGAGGUGGCAGACAUGGCAUGUGUUUGAGUGGCAAGAAGUUUUUGAAGUUGUUCUGCAAUAUCAAAUAUUUGUGAAGCAAUCUCAGAUGAGUAUACAGAACCAGAACUAGAGUCAAUGGUAGAAGGAGCAGAAGCAACAAUAUUGGACGAUGGCCUCCUAAAAUUCUUCUCUCCACAAUUUCGGACAAUGUGUUUUUCAAUGUGCUUGAAGAGAAUCAUCCUUAGCACCAGCCAUAACAAAUAAUGACAAGAAAAUACGACAAACACAAUCACUGAGACAAAAUAAAUUAGGGAUAAUCUGGGGCUGUGCGAGCCCGAUUUCUCCCCCUACAGACGUCGUUUGACCGAUCCGACCGUUGAAGAUGAAGACCUAAAUGUUGCGAACCUGCUGUCAAAAAAUCAGCUCGAUCCAACGAUUAACGAAUGCGCAAUCGAUGUUUUUGUGAGACUGAUUUAACAAAAUCGGGAAUAGGGUUACUCUUCUCUUUUCUCUUUUGGUGGUUGCCUUUCCUAUCAAAAUAACCUCUCUCUUCUUUAGCAUAGAUCCCAAAAUCAACCAAAGCUCUUUGAUACCAUGUUAACAAUGAAAAGAGGAAGAAAGAGGAAGAAGAGAAACAACCACUCUAGGGUUUCAUAACAUAGAAUGAACCAAACUUGAGUUAAUAGGGUUACAAUGAGUAUAUAUAUAAAAGAAUAGAAAUGUCUAAAAUACCCUUACUACUAAUAUAUAAUAACAUUAUCUAACACUUUCAACCUAGAUUCUUCAUUUCUAUAAUUAUUAAGCUACAUGAUCCAAGUGUUUUAUAAAGUUACAUGUUUGCACACUAUAUGAUCUAAGUGUGAAAUUUUUCAAAAACACUUGUGGAGGUCUUAGACAAAUUGAAUAUGCGAACAUCAUUGACAGCCUUAAGCAUGCCACUAACUGUACUAGACCCGACAUUGUCUACGUCGUGGAACUAUUGUGCAGGUUUACUAAUAGAUCUAGUAUGGAGAAUGUUGAAGAAAAAACUUUUUUGAUAUAUGUUUAAUUGACAACAAACCUUAUGAAAAAAAUGAUUAAGUUUUAUGAAUGGUGAUCUACUAAAGAUUGCAUUUGAGUUUUAUUUAAGGAACAUGAAUUGCAUUAGUGAAAAGGCAAGAAGUCAUUCACUUCAUCAAAGUGCAUAAAAAUUGUGGCAAGAUCAUAUUAAAGAGGAAGCAAAAAUAUACAAAUAGAAUGAAUAACGUUCUUGACAGAAGUUUGAAAAACGAAGAACGUUCUCCACUAUUCUAAAACAACAAGAAUGAUGAUAUCAUUUUUUAAGGAAAAUAAAGCUCUUGGGAUUUAAGCAAGAAUCAAGAACGACCUUAAGUGGAUACUUCAGCAUAUCUCUAAGAUUUAUGCACACAUGAUAAAGGGAUCAUGAAUCACUGUCAAAGAUGGCUGACAAAGAAGCUUACAGUUCAACAUUUCUCAAAGCAGAAAACGAAGAAUAUUCAUACAAGAACAUUCUUGCUUUAAGUCAAAUUGAUGGCUAAGAUAAGCCAAGAUAGGAAUGAUAAAGUCACUGCAUCACUGACACACGUGCAGAACAAAAAAGCUCGGCACACAAUAACUAUCAGAAGUUCAAAAUCCAGCAAAUCACUCAAAAUAAAAAACGAAGAACGUUCUUGUUUUCACAACUUUAAUCCAAGAACGUUCUGGUUUACAAAGAACAAAAUCUGUUGUAAUUUAAGAUCGAUCUAGGCUACGAAGUACAUCUAUCUACAUUACAAAUUAUCAUUACAGAAGAAUUUAAUAAUCUACACAAGAUCGUUUUGGAUAUGUUCGAUCAAAGAGGAUCAACAAAGACAAAGCAAAACAUCAAGAUCAAUCUCCAAAUUGAUGAGCUAUGAGCAAGGACAACCAUGACAACAAGGACACUGUUGUUGCACCUUUUUGCAGAAAACACAUCAUGUUUCUGAGACAAAAGACUGACACACAACAGCUGUCAAAAUCCAGCACUCAUAAAAAACAGAAACGAAGAAUGUUCUUGUUUUACAAAAGAACAUUCUGGUUAUUCUCUUUUAAAGGCACAAUUAAAACAGAUAAUUUUCAGCAAUCUAAACCACAUAUCAUUGUUGUUGUUGUUGUUGUUGCUGUUGCUGCUGCUGCUGCUGCUGCUGCUGCUGCUGCUGCUGCUGCUGCUGCUGCUAUUGUUGUUGUUGCUGCUGCUGCUGCUGCUGCUGCUGCUGCUGCUGCUGCUGCUGCUGCUGCUGCUGCUGCUGCUGCUGCUGCUGCUGCUGCUAUUGUUGUUGUUGCUGCUGCUGCUGCUGCUGCUGCUAUUGUUGUUGUUGCUGCUGCUGCUGCUGCUGCUGCUAUUGUUGUUGUUGCUGCUGCUGCUGCUGCUGCUGCUAUUGUUGUUGUUGCUGCUGCUGCUGCUGCUGCUGCUAUUGUUGUUGUUGCUGCUGCUGCUGCUGCUGCUGCUAUUGUUGUUGUUGCUGCUGCUGCUGCUGCUGCUGCUGCUAUUGUUGUUGUUGCUGCUGCUGCUGCUGCUGCUGCUAUUGUUGUUGUUGCUGCUGCUGCUGCUGCUGCUGCUAUUGUUGUUGUUGCUGCUGCUGCUGCUGCUGCUGCUAUUGUUGUUGUUGCUGCUGCUGCUGCUGCUGCUGCUAUUGUUGUUGUUGCUGCUGCUGCUGCUGCUGCUGCUAUUGUUGUUGUUGCUGCUGCUGCUGCUGCUGCUGCUUUUUUCCCUACUCAACGAUGAAUGUUCCAUGUCAUUAGAACAACCUUGCGAAAUCAUAUUCAACAAACCCUUUUCUACCUAUCUUGUCUCUCAAAGUGUGAAUGUCUGCAACUUGAUUUGGUUAAACUCACUGUUGUCUUUAUUUUGCUGUUGAAAAAGAAUUUGGAGUUUGUUGUUUGUUGUUUUACUCUUUGGAUUUUGCUGUCAAAAUAUUAGGUUUGGUACCAAUUGCACUCUAAUAUGCCCAUUUGAUUCAAUUUCAUUUCUUUUGCUUAAGGUACUGUGAUGGAAAGUAUGCUUAUCCUUUUUUCCCUACUCAACGAUGAAUGUUCCAUGUCAUUAGAACAACCUUGCGAAAUCAUAUUCAACAAACCCUUUUCUACCUAUCUUGUCUCUCAAAGUGUGAAUGUCUGCAACCUGAUUUGGUUAAACUCAUUGUUGUCUUUAUUUUGCAGUUGAAAAAGAAUUUGGAGUUUGUUGUUUGUUGUUUUUCUCUUUGGAUUUUGCUGUCAAAAUAUUAGGUUUGGUACCAAUUGCACUCUAAUAUGCCCAUUUGAUUCAAUUUCAUUUCUUUUGCUUAAGGUACUGUGAUGGAUUGAUUAAAUUAAAGCAGUAUCUUGAUCAAUUUACACAUAAAACAAUUUUAAGUUUAAUCUUCGCACAAAUUUCGUAUAAAAAAUUGGUAAUUAUCUAUCUCUUGUUGGUAACAGUUAUCAACUUAUCAUCAAAGCUAACUAAUGACAAUUUUCAUUUAAAAAUUAUGUAUGUUAUUUGAAAUGACUAAUGGUUAAUGCGAUUUCAGAUCACAAAUUCUAGCUGUUGCUGCUAGCUACUUAAUAGCAUUGUUGGGAUUAUUACCAGUCAAGACUUUGAGGUUUAUUGUCGGAAAAUCCCUUGGGAAGUCAUGGUCUGCCAAUGCAGUUGAGGCUGCAUGCUCUCACUUGUCACAAGUUAGCUUUACUGUUGAAAGAAGGGCUUCGAUGUUAGGUCACAAUAAGCAUGUAAAUUAGUGGUUUUUCCAUUUCUGAUUCUUGAUCCCUUUUCUUAUAUAGUUAUAUUGGAAUACUAAUAAAAUGUAUAUGUUUUAUGAUACUGAUUCAUAUAUUUGUAUAUUUGAAUACUAAUGUAUAUUUGUUUUGAUGAGUUUUAGGUCCCAUAAAAAAAAAAUCAUUUAAUUAACAAUACUCAAAAGAUAGACUGCAGUUAUACUUUUGUAAUGUUCAUGCAUUUAGGAGGUUAACCACCACAUUUGUUAGUCCUUUAAGAUUGUAAGGUCUGUUGGCAGUUGACACAUAAAUGCUUUGACAACUGUUCUUAUUCAUAAUUUAUCCUGUGGCAUAUUAAAGUGAAUAAAUUAUUUGUUUCAUGUAUUUGCAGAAACUGACCGGGGGAACUAUUGCUGAGACUAGGGCAGCAACCACCAACUGGGGACACCAGCCAAGUAAACAAGAAGCUGAGAAAAUGAUGAGAGAAUCCACCUUGGAUAGACUUUCUUCUUUAAUCAGAAAUCAUGAGAAGAAACUAGCUCUGGUAAGUUACAACUUACAAGAGACCAACUGAAAUAACUUCUCAAAGACUAUCUGUUGUUACCAUAUCUAACUUUAUAUGGUCAUAGGCAAAAGCAAGGUUCAAGAAGGCUGAGAAGGAUUUGGCGAAAAUAUAGGGUGAUUUGGAACCAGCAGACCUUCCAUCUUAUUUGGAGACAUUAACUAAUGAAGAGAGAUUUUUGUUUAGGAAGAUUGGUCUGAGUAUGAAGCCAUAUUUACUUCUAGGUAAGAACAACNNNNNNNNNNNNNNNNNNNNNNNNNNNNNNNNNNNNNNNNNNNNNNNNNNNNNNNNNNNNNNNNNAGGGAGGCGAGAUGUUUAUGCUGGCACCAUAGAAAACAUGCAUCUACACUGGAAAUAUCGAGAGGUCGUAAAGAUAAUUGUGAAAGGGAAAAUAUCUACACAUGCAUCUACUUCCAUCUGCAGGUUACAAGACCCAAAAGCUUGUUGACACGAAGACAAGCAUUGGCUCGGUCUAUUGAGCUUCAAAGACGAGAGGUAAUAAAGCAAUAAUUUCUAAUUAAAUGAGACUUUUACUUGGUCUUUUAUCGCAUGAAAUUUCUAAUUUUUAUUUUCAGGCACUGAAAUAUCAUAUCUCAUAUUUAUAGGAGAUGAUUGAGUUGCUCAAAUCUGAGCUAGUAUGAUGUUUUAUCACUUCUUUAAUAUGACAUAGAAUUGUGAUUGAAUGUGGUUGAUAAGGCCUCAUUUGAGGUUGCAGAGACAUCAAAACCUGGAGUUAGAGUUCUAUUAGGCUAAUAAUGGUUUUUAACCAAUACAUGUAAUCAUUGGUUUUUGUUUUGUUGGUAACAGCAUUUUGGACUAUGAUGUGCUUAACUUGGAAGUGCCAACACUUCCUAUUGUUGGAUCAUUGAUAAAAUCUGGAGUUAGAGCUCUAAUUUACAGGUAUCUAGAGUUCUCAUUCUCAUUUUCAUUCUAAACAUAAAUCACUUUACAUUCAAUUUAUUUUCAACUAAAACCAAUUCAAUCAAAAUCAUUUUUUAUCACCGCAAAACAAAAAAUAUGCUUAGUCUCACAUUUCCUUUGUGUUCAGGUCAACCGCGUCGACACUUACUAACAACUGGAUGGAGUACUUUGUGACUUCCAAAAGAUUAGUUGCUGGAGAUACUUUUGUGUUUCUGAGGUAUUCAUUUGAUGUUUUCUUUUUCUUGGUUUCCUUGAUAUGGUUCAAAAAAUCAUCAUAUACUGUAAAAUCAUACAAUGUUUCUGUUUGACUAUGCAAACAUUAAAACUAAACAAGAUUUUGUGUUUAGAGGAAACAAUGGAGAAUUACGCGUUGUAGUGAGGCAUCUCGCUUUGCCUCAGAGCUGCAUGCCUUUAUCUGUGAUUUCUGGUCAGAGCAUGCACCUUGGAGUCCUUGCAACUGUAUCUCAUGUUGUUGCAACCCCAGAUUUUGUUGUCGACUACUUUGUUGAUAUUAGCGUCGGCCAUCCUAUGCACCUAUUUUCUCAACUGACGUGUCAACUGACAUAUUUAGCGUCGGAUGUCUUGAUUUUGCUGAUAGCGUCGGUGUAGCGCAGGCCUAGCCGACGCUAAUAUAGCGUCGGAUGGUGUUUAGCCGACGCUAUUCAUUAGCUUCGACUGUUUUAGUCUAGGCCCGUUACCGACGCUAAAUCGCCAUUAGCGUCGGUUUUGGGCCGACGCUAAAUUUUGAUUUUCUAGUAGUGUAUUAAAUAGUAUGAAGACAGCUCAAAUCAAUGGUGAAGGCUAGAACUCGAGCUGAGUACCAAAAGGAGAAAAAUAGCCUUAAGAUUGAUUUUCAAAUUGAUGAGUUGUGAGCAGGGACACAAGUACAAAUUUGACAAAUAAAGUACUGCAUCACUGACGCAAGUACAUAGAAGCAUAACAUACAAACAACUGUCAAAAGUUCUAAAGUCCAGCUGUUACCAAAAAUAGAAACGAAGAAUAUUUUGGACAACAAUAUAAACACAUGUUUAAUUGCUUUAAAAUAUAUUUGACACUUGGGAAGUGUGUCCAACGGCUAUAUUCAUUUUAAACUGAAUUCAAAGCCUUUUAUCAUCUAUAAAUUGAAGAUCAAUUGGAAGAUCAAGAAAAGAGUUCAAUUUACAAAUCUACCAACACUUGUUCAAUUAAAAACAAGUCAAAAACUCUUCAAGCAAACUUCAGUUCUCUUUACUAUAUCUUUUGAUCAUUAUUUACUGAGUUUUUCUUUCAUUUAUCUCACACAAGUGUUGAGAAGUUUCAAGAUCCCAAACACUUUUAUCAUACACAUCAUUUGUAACUCAAGUUUAUCUUUUAUGUUAGAUUGAGUAUGUUUGUAAAAAUCCUUUCAAAGCUAAAAUGUGAUUGUAAAAAUCUUUUCUAGGUUGAAAGGUGAUUGUAAAAAUCUUUUCUAGGUUGAAAUGUGAAGAUUGUAAUUGAUCAAGGUGCGAUCAAGAGUAAAGGUGUGAAGAAGAACAUUAUUGGUUCUAAAGCACAUAGUGAAAAUUUCGCGGUUGUGAGGACUGGACGUAACCCACUUUGGGUGAACCAAGAUAUAAUGCUGUGUGAAUUCUUUUUCCCUUAUCACCAUUUAUUUAUCACUCACUUAGCACUAAUCAUAUCGUGAAGUUUUUAUUGCUAUAUUACUAACGAAGAAUGUUAUCCUUUUAUUGUUUAUCAAACUAAUAUCAUUCUUGAGUUAAAUUUAAAUUAAACACAAGAAUCAAAAUUUUAAAAGGAUCACAAUUCAAACCUCAUUUUUCUUGUGAUUGACAUUGCUUCUUCAGAGUAUUGACACGCUAUCGAGAGAGUCAUGAGAUACCUUCAAAGAAGCAUGAGUCUUGAAUUAUAUUAUCAAAGAUUUCAUGUCAUCCUUGAAAGAUAUAAUGAUGUUGAUUGGAACACUUUAUCAUAUUACUCUAAAGCAACCAAUGGCUAUAUAUUUAGCAUAGUUGGUGGAGUUGUAUCUUGGAAAUCGAAGAAAUAAACGAUAUUGGUUCAGUCCACUAUGAAAUCUGAAAUGAUAGCACUAGCGGUUGCUAGUGAAGAUGCGAGUUAGUUGAGAUACUUGCUAAUUGAGAUCCUUUUAUGGGAAAAACCAAUGGCAGCUUUGUUGAUCCACUAAGAUAGUAUCGCAACUACUGCAAAAAUUUAGAAAUGUUAUUACAAUGGUAAGAGACGACAGAUACGUCGUAAGCACAACAUAAUUAGAAGUUACUUUUGAAAUGAGCUGUUAAUGUGGAUCAUGUACGCAUUGAUGAAUAUUUAGCAUAUCAUUUGAUGAAAGGAUUAGCUAGAGAGAAAAUCCUAAACACAUCCAAAAGGAUGAGACUAUUUCCUUUAGAUCAAUGAGUCACUUGUGAUGGUAAUCCGAUCUCAAGAAUCAGGUACAAUGGGUAAUAACAAACACUAAAGUGAUAUGAGAUGAACAUGCUAUUAUAAAUUAGAGAAACAUGAUUCUUGAAGCGAUUAAAGGAUGCGGUAAUAAAAGCUCUUAAUGAGAUAUAUAUUAUAUGUGGAGUAGAACACCUAACUACAAAAGUACUCUUAAUAGACUACUUAUGUGAAUGUAGAAGUGGGGUUGUUUCCUAUGGUAUUUUGGGGUAAAAUUUCUAAAGCGUGCACUAUAUUAGGAUAGACGUACAAUGCCAUUAAUGCAUGUGUUUUUGAGAAUACACCCAAUAAAAAUGAUGUGUGUGAGUUUGAUGUCAGAAAUAAAGUUCAAGACUAUGAGUCCCUCUUAUUGAAUAUGAAUCUUAUUUGUUAUGCAAAGAUUCAAGUCGGAAAACACAUCUAUUAAUGCAAAAUCUUAUAGAAGUUUGACGCUACUUUAGAAACAUUUUUUAAUUCAAGUGAAGGAUUGUCAGAACAUAGAGAGUAUAUUAGAGUGUAUUAAAAAUUGUUAAAGUCCCACAUUGAAAAACUUUCAUACAUUGAAUAGUUUUCAACUCUGUAAAUGCUAAAGUCCCACACUGGAUAGUAUACAUAUAUGAAAUUGUUUUCCCAUCACUAUAUAAAAAGUGUCAAACUCUUGUGAAAAGUACAAAGUUGGAUGCAAUUCCUAACUUUCUCUCUUCUCCCUUUUCUGAUACACUUCUGAGCCACUUCUCUUUAUUUUCGUCCCUUCAAUUUUUUGAGUGGUCUUAAUAUCAUUGUCCUUUUGAUUUUAGAGCGGUUUUUAUUAUGUCGUAGUCCAUUUGAUUUAUAAAUAGUCUUAAAUAUUUUUAGAAUGGUCAUUACAACCAUAUUUAACGUGUAAUUCUAGAACGGUUUUCUUCAAAUAGUAGAAUACGGACUUACGUUCUUGGUUCUUUUUACUUAUUUUUAAAUUGAUAUUAUAACAAAACCAAAUUGAUCAUUUUUAAAUUGACAAAUCACAAAAAAGUAAAAUAUAUGUUUCACAUCUUAAACACAUAUCCAAUUUAUUUUGAAACGCGACCAAAAAGGAUUAAAAUGUCAUUAAACCAAAAUAGAUUUGCAGCACUUAAACAUGGUUUCAAGUGUCUCAUACUUUCUAACAAUUAAGUUCAAGUGUCUCUUAAAUUCUAAAAUGCUCAUAACCAUGUGAAAUCUAAACUGAUUUCGAUUCUGUUUGUUGUUGUGCAACAAGUAAUUCGAGAAUCUGCAAACCAUAUUCUUUCUCAUCGAUAAAAAUAGUUCUCAAUCGGUAAAUUAUCACCACACUGUCUAUUUCUAUUUAUUUUCACGUAAACUUCACUUUAUUAGUUAUUUGUAUUAUAUUUGAACGUUUAUAUGCUGAGUAGCAAGGAGUCAUCCUUUUCUGCAAAUCGAGUUGGUAAUUUGUGAAAUUGUCGAAUAAGGUAUGAAAUGGGUUUUGACUCUUGAUGCAACAAGUAGAUUGAGUAGAUUUGUUAAAUAUGAAUGUCUUUUGAUCCCUAGGUAUGCACCGACAGUUGAAUUGUUUGGAACCAUUGCGGGGACAAUGGUAUAAAUUGCUAUACGUUAGCUGUUUUAGACUAUCUCUUAUGAUGUGUCAUGUUUUAUUUAAAUUUCGUGAUGUGUGUUUCUUUAUUUUUUGAUAACGAUAAGUGUUUAGAAUGUCGAUAAGUGUUUAAUGUGGAUUUUUUUUGUUUUUGUUUUAAGAAACUGUGACGUUUUGAUAAGUAGUAGCUUGUGUUAAAAAGUUGAAAGCCAAACCCAAAUUAGAUUUUUUUUAGCGUUAAUAUAUUUAUUCAAACAACAUCGUUCAAUUUACAAUGAUUUGAUUUAGCAAGAACAUUUCAUUCAUGCAAGAUCUAGUAGUUCACGUCAUAGAUUCAAUAAAUCAAUAUCUAAUAACAUGUCUCUUUCUAAUAACGUUCUAUCAUAUAACAUAUCUCUUUCUAGCUCAUUAAUCUACAUGUCUAUCUUAAUAGUUUCUCUUAUAGUUUUUCAAAGACUUACUCUGCCUCUAUCGAUUUGACUACCCUCCAUUUGAUUUAUUUUCCUUACUAUAAAAUCUACAGGUCAUCUCUCGACAUGCUCAAACCACCUAAAUCAAGUUUCAGCCAUCUUUUCUACUAUAGGUGUUACCUCAACUCUCUCUAAUGUUGUCAUUCCAAAUCUCAUCUCGUUUAAUCUUUCACACACCCAAUGCAAUACAACCUACACUUGUACAAUUUCAUAAUGAUCAAGAUUAUUUUAGUGCAUGAGUAAUAUAAAUUGUACGGUCUCAAAUCAGUGAUUGAGAUUAAUUACUGCGUGAUAUUACUACUACAGGAAAUCUAGGUCUGUAACAUUAAUUGUAUGUAAUGAAAUCCACAAACAAUCAUGUUUGAAGUAGUAGCAUUUCAAAAACUUAUGGAUACAAGAGAAUGUAACCCUAUUGAUACAAGAGAAAACGUUAAAAAAAUACAAAAGACGAGAAAACAAUCCGAAGAAUCUUGUGUUUGCAACUAUAUCCCUCUAAGAUUUGAUCUGUUGUAACUCUCUAUUUCCCAUUUUCAAGAUUUGUAUAUUAGUCAAAGGAUCUCCCUUCAAAAUCAGGUGCUAGCUGUUGAAAGUUAUCCUGAGGUAACCUGAUCAAGAAACCAAGACCUGAAGGAAUAAUUGAGAAUAUGAUUAGAAAUUAAUAAAUGCAGAUUGAAACAUAUAUAGUAGGUUUUAUAAUGAAAUAGGUAUAACUUAUAGUACUUCAAAAUAGAAAAACUCAUACAGAAAGUAAAGUGAUUAUUAAACAUUUAUUUUUACUCAGUAGAAACAUUUUUGUUCAACUAACAAGAGUUUAGUAACUAUACAUUGACAUUGUAAAUUUUAUACACAGAGAUUCAAUCUUAACUAAUGAUUAUGUCAUGUAAUAUUAAUUUUUUGGAGAUAAACAAAAAAGCAUAACCGGUUGAACCCGGUUCGAUCUAUUUCUAAUAGACUGAGCACCGACUGUGAUUGAACCAACCGACGGACAAGCUGAUUCCUGGUUGAAUCGGUCGGUCCGGGUCUAAAACACUGAGUAAUAGAAACACGAAAGUAUUAUUCCAUUACUCUCUACCAUAACUAUUAUGUUUACCUUCAAUAACUUUAUAGAGAGUAGACCACCAUCUAUCUGUAGGAACAUGAUAUUUUGUCAAUGUCUCUUCUAUACUUUCAUCAUGCUUUCCUUCAAGAACUUCCUGAAGUGUUGUUACUGCAUCCUUUGUUCUAUUAAGAAUGUCUUUCUUGUCUUUAUUAUUUGGACUUUGAAGGUGAUUUUGUAAAGAAGAUAGAGUAGUAGCUAUUGCAAAUUGAGUUGCACUAUUCCAAUUGAUAGAUGCUAACUGUUUCAUAUGGAUUUCCAGCUCCUUGUUGUUAUAUUCAUUUGAAUUGUUCUCUGUCCUUCCAAAUACUAAGCUACAUAAAUACUCAGCAUUUGCAGGUCCAGUGCUUUGUACCAUCUUGUAGAAUGCAGUUUCUUCAUUUUGUAAGAGUUUCUCAGGUGAACUGUAUUCAAGAACCUGAAAAAUAUACAAGAAGAUGAAUCUUGAUAUUGGACCACCAAAACUGAAUUGAGAUUAAUUACUAAUUGAUUGGAAAAAGGAAAUUCCCCUUCAUUUAGAAUGCUUUAACUCAUUAGUCAUUUGGUUAAAAUACAUUUAACUUUGAUCCUUAUAUGUGAAAUUCAUUUUCAAUUUGGUUGAUAUAUAAAAAUGUUUUAACCGAGUGGCCAGGUGCAGCUGGUUAGUGAACUUAAGGGCAAAUCGUUUAGGAGAAAACGAGUUUGGAUCCUAGCUGGAAUAAUUAUUGAUCAAACUUUACAUACUUUCCGGGAGAACACUGAAUUACCAAGUCUCAUUUUCCUUGAGAACCAAAGGGUUGAGACAAAAUAAAAUAAAUAAAUCACACAUACACCUCUCUCUAUUAUGUAAAAAUAUAAGAGGUCUUUGUCACCGGAAUGCAGUUACUCGAAUCCUAAUAUACAUCAAAGGAUCAUCAAGAAAAUGACUUAUUUUUUUGGACAAAGAUCACACAAUGACAUAUUUUUUUCAUAUUUUUUAGGGUUACAGCUGCGGUGAGCACUAAGCCAUGCCAAUAUAGAAGUUUCAUUUAAACUGUCUCCCUAUAACUUGAACGGACAUUGUCUUUCCAGUCAGUUUUUAAAUCACAGUGUGAUAGUCAUUUGAAUGUAGUUGUUUGGAUCCUAAGAUACAUCAAAGGAUCACAAUAUAAAAGACUUAAUUAUUAGGAUUUAGGCCACACCAUUAUUCUUGGAUAUUUAAAUUUAAGUCUAACAAAUAAGGGUGACAAGUAUUUAUCCAAAAAUAAAUUAAAAAUGAGUGCAUAUACGGACUAAAUUGAAAACUUUUUUAUAUAGGGACCAAAUUAAAAGUGAGUGUUAUGUAUAUGGACAAAUUCUUUUGACCAAUUCAUUUCCAUUGAACCAAUAUAAGUGCAACAUACAAGAAUAGAAUAUUUGUAGUUCAUGCAACUAGGAUGAUGUACCUUGCCAGCAUCUAGCAACAGAAUCCGAUUGCAGUCGAUGAUUGUAUUCAAUCUGUGAGCAAUGAUGAGCAUUGUGCAUGAAUGAAAUUCUUGUCUGAUAGUUUUCUGUAUAAGAGCAUCUGUUCUAACAUCAACAGCAGCCGUAGCUUCAUCCAAGACAAGAACCUUUGAUCUUCUUAGCAAUGCUCUAGCUAGACUUAAUAGCUGCCUCUGUCCAACACUGAAAUUGUCUCCUCCCUCAGAAACCUUUGUUCAAUGUAAGAGAUUACCUUGUCAUGCUUCUUGUUUUCCAUUGAAAUUUUCAAAAACACUAAGAAAAACCAAUUAUAUAUUUGCUAGAAUUUUAAAAUUGGACAAAAAAUUGUUAGAAAAAUUUUUCUGAACAAAGUUUCGAUGACUGUUAUAUUAAGUACAAAAACAUGUUCCACUAUUUUUUUAUAACCAUAUUAUUUAAGGUGCGAAGUAUCCAAUACCGUAUAGUAGUGAUUAAUCUCCGUUGGGGAUCAGUUGGGCACACAAGGUGGGUGAACUACGUUAACUAUUUAAAAAACUGUCUAAUUUUGUUGUUCCAAAUUGAUGUUCAAAUAUCAUUUCUGAAUAAAAUGCGCAACCUCAAUGAGUAAAUUUAUACCAUAAUAAUCAAUGUACCUGAGCAUCUAGACCAAAUGAAUUUCUUCUUAUUACAUCCUUCAAGUGUGCCCUUUCCAAAGCUUCCCAUAGGUCAGCAUCAUUGUGUUCAUUAAAUGGAUCAAGAUUGAAACGAACAGUUCCUAAAAGAUAGAAUGACAGUUUUCAGAACAGAAAUGUUAUAUUCAAAUUAAUAGAGAAUGUUUAUUCACAAUUAAAAGAAAACUUAAAAUACAAGAAUAAUAAUAAUGACAUAAUCCCAGUAUGUUUAUAUGGUCAAGAAAGAGACCACUUUAUUAUAACACUUUCUAAUGUGAUAGUUUGCUGAUUCAAACAAUUUUUUGAAUAGGAAUAGAAAUAGAAAUACUUUAUGGAUUUUAUUUAUCCACUUUUAGAUUUUUUACACUAUAGUCUAAACAUUAUUGGCACAUUAUUAUAACAGUAUGGUUAUGAGAGCAGCCAAUUAAAUAGUCAUGUGUUUUAUAGUAACAUACUAAUACUUGAUUGGAUGAUUGUGUAAAAACAUCACAUUUGAUGUAUUUUUGGCAUCUUGGUAUUACAAAAACCUGCAACUGUGGUUCAGAUUGACAUGCAAUGUGACUUGAUGGAAAUUUAAAAUUUUGCUGACAGUGGAUCAAAAUUAAACUUAUCCUUGAUUGACUAAAUAUAGAAUAAGAUUUAGGGUUAUAGUUCAUACCGGAGAAAAGAACUGGCGAUUGAGGUAUGAUAGUAAGAACUCUUCUCAAAUCAGCUAGUCCAAACGUAGAAAUAUCACAUCCAUCAAUAAUGAUUCUUCCACUUUGUAGUUCAACAAUUCGAAAUAAUGCAUUAAGCAUGCUAGACUUUCCUGCACCAGUUCUUCCGACUACACCUAUCUUCUCAGUCGAAGGUACCGUAAAAGACAAUCCGUGCAAGACCGGAGGAAGUUCAGGCCUAUAACUAAGAACAACAUUCUCAAACUCAAUUGAUCCUGACAUUGGCCAUCCGGGUGGUGGACGGUUUGUCUCAAUUAUACCAAGACCCUCAGUUUCUA
This 73676-nucleotide long non-coding RNA is filed under the name Cicer arietinum (chickpea). RNAcentral describes it as "long non-coding RNA (CARI_LNC001420)". Lineage: Eukaryota; Viridiplantae; Streptophyta; Magnoliopsida; Fabales; Fabaceae. The record is from RNAcentral.